Molecule: non-coding RNA, 51446 nt
Organism: Rattus norvegicus (Norway rat)
Lineage: Eukaryota; Metazoa; Chordata; Mammalia; Rodentia; Muridae
Source: RefSeq, a predicted model, not a curated record
GCAUGAGUGGCCAAUGAACGAUACUAGCCCCCCCUCUCUAGGAUUUAGCCACGCCCUUCAUUCGUUACUGUGAGUAUUUUCAGAACAGAGGUUGUGGCAGUUUCAGCAUCAAAUACCUGUUAAAGAAGAAAAGAUAGUUGAACUAGAAACAGAAAAUGCUGUUCUGUCCCUGAGAUUGGCAGAGAUAACGAAGUAAUGUUUUGCUCUGACCAAUGAGCCACAGCACUUAUGUCUUUCAGGAAUGGCUCUAGAUGUGGUCAUCGUAUACUACCCUGAAAGAACCGCCAGAGUUCCAGGACGGCCACCUUUCACUUAAGCAAACUUGUCCACAGACUGUGUGGGUCCCAUCAGCUGAGAGUAGCCUUCACAUUGCAGUGAUGUGCAUAUUUCUGCUUUUCAGCCACGAUGGACUUUAGGAUCUUCCCUGAGGACCCUACACGAACCACAGGUGACCUGGAUGCAGAAGUCCUACCUGUAGCUGCCAUCCAGGGCAUAAGUCCCUCAGUGAGUGAAUUCCAGAUGGUUCUGUCUAAAGCAGCAUCGAGCAGGGUGGUGGGAUAGAAUGACAGUUGUGAGCAGUUCCCAUCGGCAUCAACUGUACCACAGACCCAGUCUCAGUGUGACACAGAAGACAACUACCUGGAAAGUUCAUCCACAGAGCACGUAAUUCUGAUUGGUGCAACAGUCUGGAAGAGUGAAAGACGUCAUCUCCCAAGGGCAAGUGCUGUGCUAGUGGACACUGAGGAGCUGCAGGGAUCAGACCCCUCCCCAUCCUUCUCCAGCCUCUCUUGUUCUUCCUUGAGAUGUUUCCUGCAGACCUGAAAGAUCCAGGCAGUCCAUGACAUGGGUUUGAAUUUAAUCUCAGGACAUUUUAUUCAUUGCCCAAAAACUAAGACCAGAUAAAAUUUAUUUAUUCAUUCAUUCAUUCAUUCAUUCAUUCAUUCAUUUCUUAUAUAUAAGUACAGGGUAGUUGUCUUUAGAAACAACAGAGAGGUCAUCAGAUCUAAUUAGAGAUAUUUGUGAGCUGCCAUGUGGUUGCUGGGAUUUGAACUCAGGACCCCUGGAAGAGCAUUCAGUGCUCUUAACCAUUUAUCAAUCUUUCCCAUUUCCAAGGUAACUUUUUUACUUUCAACAAGGUAUUCUUUAUUCAGGUUACAUCCUGAUCCCAGCUACUCUCCCUCUUCCCUUCCCAGUCCCACCAUACAAAUCCUUUCUAACAAUGCUCUCCCUUCUCUUUGGAGAUGGGGAUACUCCCUGGGUACCACACCACCCUGGGACAUCUAGUCCCAGGUGGACCGAGCACAUUCUGCCCCACAGAUUUACAAUCAGGCAGUCCGGGUAUGGGGAAGAGAUCCAAUGGCAGGCAACAAAGACUGAGACAGUCCUGGAUCUACUUGUCAGAUGACCCACAUGGAGACCAACUGCAGAUAGCUACACCAGGCUCUGGAGUUGGUUGCACAGGCUCUAGUAUACAUGGUCCAAAGUAUCUGACUGUAGGGGACUUCUUGUAGUGUUUUUGACCCCUCUAGUUUGCUCACAAUUCUCCCUCACUCUUCCACAAGACUUCCCAAGCUCCAUCUGAUGUUUGGCUGUGGGUUUCAGCUUGUGGAUGAAGCCUCUUCAGAGACAAGUAUGUUUCUUUUCUGUCCACAAGUAUAUCAGAGUAUCAUAAAUACUGUCAGAGGUUAUCUCUGUCACAUAGAUGGAUCUCACUUUGGGGCAGUCAUUGAUUGGUUGUUCCCUCAAUCUCUGCUAUAUCUUUAUCCCUGCACAUUCAUUAGCAAGAUAGAUUUUGAGUUGGUGCUGUGAGUGCAUUGAUGUCCACUUCCUCGUCUAGAAGUUCUUUCUUGCAACAAGAGGUAGCCAUUUCUGUCUCUUGCUCUGGUAGGAUUCUAACCUAGGGUCACCCCCGUAGACUCCCCCUAUGCUCUCCCUUACCAGCCAUCCAGCAAGUCACCAGAGAUCCCUGCUCCCUCCUGCCCAGAAAAUUUGUAUUCCCACUCCCAUCCCUCUCCCAAACCCCUCUCCCUUGACCUGAUCACUAUUUCCGUCUCCUUUCCUGCCUCUUCUCUUAACCUGUUCCAUCACUUCAUCCUUCUGAGAACUAUUUUGUUUUCCCUCUGAGUUAGAUUCACACCUCCUCAUUUAGGCCGUCCAGAAUUCUUUCUUCUUGUCUAUCUAUCUGUUAUCUUACACUGUAUGAUAAUGUCCACCUAUAAGUGAGUACACACCAUACGUUUUUCUGUGGUUCUGGGUUUCCUCACUCAGGAUAACAUUCUAAAGUUCAUCCAUUUGCCUAAAAAGUUCAUAAUGUAUUUAUUUUUAAUAGCUGAAGAGUAUUCCUUUGUAUAGAUAUAUACCAUAUUUUCUGUAUCCAUUUUUCAGUUGAGGGGUAUUUAGGCUUUUUUUAGUUCUUGGCUAUGACAGAUAAAACCAGUAUGAACAAAGUUCAUCAAGCAUCCUUGUGGGAUGGUGGGGCAUCUUUUGCGUAUAUGUCCAGGGGUUGUUUUGCUAAGUCCAGUGGUAAAACGAUUCCCACUUUUCUGAGAAACUGCCAAUAUGAUUUUGAAAGUGGAUAUACAAGUUUGCAAUCCAAGCAGCAAUGGAGGAGUAUUCCCUUUUUUCCACAUCCUCACCAGCAUGUGCUGGAUGUCACUUGAGAUUUUUAUUUUAGUCAUUCUGAUUCAUGUAAGUUGGAAUCACAGGGUGCUUUUGAUUUGGAUAUACCUGAUGACCAAGGAUGGUGAACAGUUCUUCAAGUGUCUCUUGGCCCUUCGAAGUUCCGCUGAUGAAUUUAGCUUUGCACCCCAUUAUUAGAUUAGGAUAUCUGGUUUCUUGUAGUUUAACUUGUUAUUUAUGUAAUUUGGAUAUUAGUCUUUUGUGAGAUAUAGGCUUGGUGAAGAUCCUUUUCCAACCUGUAGUCUGCCAUUUCUCCUAUCAAGUGUGUUCUUUUCCUUACAGAAGCUUUUCAGUUUCAAGUUUCGUUUAUUGUGGAUCUCAAUAUCUGAGCACCACUGGGGUUCUGUUCGGGAAGUUGUCUCCUGUACCAAUGUGCUCAAGCCUAUUUUCCAAUUUCUCUUGUAUCAGGUUUGACGGAUAAGGUUUUAUGUUGAGGUCUUUGAUGCAAUUGGACUUGAGUUUUGCAGAGCUUUAUACAUUAGGGUCAUUGCAUUCUUCUUUAUGCCUGUAUCCAAUUAGACCAGCACCACCUGUUGAAGAUGCUUUCUUAUUUUUGUCAUAUGAUUUUGCCUCCUUUCUUGACAAUAAGCAUCCAUAGUUGUGUGGGUUUAUUUCAGGGUCUUGGAUUUAAUUUUAUUGAUCAAUCUGUCUGUUCCUAUACCAAUACCAUAUAGUUGUAUUACUAUAGCUCUGUAGAACAGCAGUAAAUCAGAGAUGGUGAUUCCUCCUGAAAUUCUUUUAUUGUUCAGGAAAGUUUUAGCUCCCUGUGUUUGUUAAAUAUUUCACUUGAAGUUGAGAAUUGCUCUUUUAAGGUGUGUAAAGACUUGUUUUCAGCUUUGACAGGUAUUGCCUUCACAAUUUAGAUUGGUUUUAGUAAGAUGGUAGUUUUCAAAUUAUUAAUCCUACCUGUCCAUGACCUUUCUUAUGAUAUCUUCUUCAAUUGCUUUAAUUGGAGAUUAAAUUUUUUGUCAUACAGAUCUUUCCUUUUCUUAUAAUUGCACUGAGGCCUUUUUGUUAUAUUAUUUGUUGCUAUUGUAAAUAGUAGUGUUUCCCUAAUUUGUCAAUCCCUUCAUUGUUUGUUUAAAAGAGUCCUACUGAUUUUUUUUAAUUAAACUUGUAUCCAUAAACUUUGCUGAUGGUGUUUAUCAAAUGUAGGAGUUAUCUGUUCUUUUUAGCUUUGUCAGUCUUGGACCCAGAGGGCAGAAUGAACGACUGUAAAGAUGACAGGGUGUUUCCUCUAUCCUAUCUUCUCCUUUGUCAUUCCAAGGGCAGUAAGCCUAGAAAUUACCUUUCCAUUCUUUCUCCAAACUCCAUUUGCUUACCAGACAGUGAUAGCUGAGAAUUCCAGACCACUACUGUGUCAUGUGGACCCUGUCUGCAGGAGAAUGGUCUCUUAGGGCAGGUGAAAUGUUGCCUGUAUGUUCUUCAAUUUGCAUGAGGUGGCUAGAAGGAGGUUUUUAUAUAAGGCACACAACACAUCAUUCUUCAACAAUGUGAGCCUUCAGAUCUGAUGUAAAUAUUUGAGAUUGAAUAUCUAGUUCAUGAUUUAAUUUCAAAAAUUCUAAAGAAAGGUUUCAGAUUUGAUGCUAGGGAUUUUAUUUUUAUCAAUUCAAAUCAACAUUACACUAAUCGUUGGUGGACAUUAUAGGUGACAGUUCUGUUAGAGAGUUAACUAAUUCUUCAGAGGUUCCAAAGACUCUAGGACUCUCACAGCAUUACACAGCAUUCUUGCAGGUAGGAGCAAAGAUGUCUGAGAAGAGUGGGAGCUCAUAGGUGGCCGUCAAACAUAGCUAUCUGAAAAGAUGUAAAUUUAGUAAAGAGAUGUAGAUACACUGUCAGGAAAGGAAGAAGCGUGUUGCUGUACCUCCUGUGACUUAAGUGCUAGAAGAACACUUGUGUCAGUCGAGUCUGCAACUCUUUCUCAGCAUAAUAGAGUUAUUUAAUUUUAAUUCCUGAAUUUUGCACUGUCAUUCCUUAGGUGAUUUAUGGAAAAAGACCUCAGUUUGCUUAUUUUAUGUGAAAGGGGAUUUUAUGAUUUCAUCACAUUUUCUAUUUUCAGAAUCCCUAAUGUGGGUUCAGAAGAUUUUUCUGAUCCAUAGAAAUCUGUGCAUCAGUGAAAUAUGCACACUUUCAAAUAAAACAGAAGCAUUUUCAACCCAAAAAUUCUUUUUAAUACAAGCUAUACGAUCAAGUGUUGAAAUACAAGCAUAAGUAUUUUUUUUUACAUUUAUCGAGUUUCCUAUUUGAAAGUGUGUCUUUGCUUUUUCCUCUGUAAGAGAAUAGAAUGUCCCAGAGAGCUGAUGAAGGAUUUGCACACUUGUCUUGCCUAGGAAGUGCAUUCUCCUUGUUUCUGCAGCACAUGGGCAGCCUUUGGUGGCAUAACAAUACCUCCCAAAGAAGAGCAGGUACCUGCUAUCCCUAGUGCAUGGGAAGACAGAUGCACUCAAGAACCUGCAAGCAUCUGAAAAAUCUGCAUGUGUGUUUGUGAGACCUGUAGUGAAAUAGACUUGGCCAUCCCUGGGCAGUGAGGUCAGAUGUGAAUAUGUGUUGUAAGAGCACAUUGAAUAGCAUACAUUACUGUGGGGAAAUGUCUCCUUUCACUGCCCCAUGCUAAUGCCUGGACUCCCCAAACAUAUUCACUGAUAAGCCCAUUGCCUUAAAGGUCUUCUGGUCGUUCAUGUUUGAAAUGUAAGUGGCCACUCAGUACUGAUGGAAUGAAGGUAUGCUUUAUUAUCAUGGCACAAGGUACACUGAUCAGUUCCAGCAGGCUGAAGGGUCAGUGAGAUGUUGUGUCCCCUCACUCUCAUGCAUACUUUGCUUGAGCAGGGCAGCAGGACAGCAUCCAAAUCUCAGGGGAUGGGUGAAAUACAAGGAGGGAGUGAGGCGGUUGUUACUCAAAGGAUGUAAAGUUCAGAUGAACAGGGAAUGACUGUGACUACUGUUAUAUGGUAAACUGUGACACUCCACAGUGUCCUGUAAAAAAUGCAAAGGAACUUUAAGAAAGGGAAGGCAUGUUUGAGGGUUUAAGGAAUUUGGGGGGAACAUUUUUGGAAGAGCAGAAUUUAUAUAUUAGAAUUAGAGUUUGUAUUUCGAUAUUUUAAUUUACAGGUUUUUUAAAUCUGUGGAGAUAUCCAUUAGAAACUAGAUUUGGUCCUGAUCGAGGACCAUGUCUUCUUAUGCACCCUGUCCUGUGUGGGAUUUGUGGCUCUGACCUACUGUUUUCCCUGGUCUCUGUACCACUUCAUUUUCUGCCAAAUCCUACAUGAGUCUUCCUCUGUCCAUUCCCAGGUAAUAAAGUGUUUUCAGAAACACAUAUACUCAUGAAUUUAUGAUACAAUUAAAGCAGAAUAGGUUGGUUGAUUGACUUGGCAGAAGAAAUGUUCAUCUCCUAAAGUGCCGGGUGAUUAUGUUUAUUUACAAAAUUUUUCAACUUAUUCACUCAAGGCAUUGGGAGGUAAGUGCCAGUCUUGAGGUUGCUUAAUCAUUUUUAGCAGUAUACAGAUAGUACUGCCCCUGCUCACCCUGUGAUCCCAGGCAGUCACAUACAUGACAGGUUAGGGGAUCAGACGAGAAACCAUAUGUGUGUGUAACUGUUAACACUGUGAGAAAUGAACACAGAACCUGUGCAGGUUGAUUGAAGGACCCUAUAAGACAUUAUCUGUUAGGUAGGCUCUCUUGAGAUAGUAGAGGGCAUGGGGAAGAGUCUCCUCCAUCGGAAGGCUCAGGAGGCAGGAUCGCAAGUUGGCUGGGAAAGUUAGGUCUCCAGGUGAUACGAGUAUUCAAUGCCACAGUAAAUUGAUUUGUACUCUACAAGCACUGUGGGGACUCUGUUUUUCUUGAGAAGGCAGAAGCAAAGUCCCAUAUUCAAUGAGCAGGUAAUCUACCCAGGAAAACUUCUGUGGGUAGGCAUACCGCUUUUGCUUAUGAGUGGCCAAUGAACAAUACCCACCGCCCCUCCCCCUACAGACUUAGCUAUGCCCUGAGGGGAUUUCCAGAACAGAGUUAGUGGCAGUUUCAGCAUCAAAUGCCAGUGAGUAUGAAGGGAGCCCAGGGAGUUUGAAACCAUCUCUCCAUGCUCUAAGGGACGUGGAAAAAAUAAGAGAACUGGGGUUGUCAUCGUAGCACUGUUUUCUGAGUCUUGAGUUCCCUUGGGAUGGAGAUCAAAUUUUCAGAAUCUUAGGGAAGUUGACCUGUUUGCUCCCAACUGUCUUUAUGGCUCCUUCCUCAAACUCCCACUUGGGUCCUCUCUGACCUUGCAUUUGCAGCAUCAGCACAUCUAGGUCCCCUGACUUGGCACCUCCCUCAGCUAUGCUGAACAUUCACAGACUCCAUACUGAGCAGGAUUUGGGAGUACAGCUACUAAUACCAAAAAUUAUGUAACCCUACUCUUUGCCCUCGUAGAGCACACAGCAGAAUAAAUAAAUGGAUAAAGUGAACAAAAAUAUAAACACCAUGUGUGGUAAUGGCUGCCAAGUAGAGAGUCUGGACCUUACCUGAUCUGAAAUCAGCCCCACCUAAGGCUUAUGGACAGGAUACUGGGAAGGGGAAAAACAUUUGAAAUGUAAGUAAAGAAAUAUAUCUAAUAAAAAAUUAAAAAACCAACCAACCAUACAAACAAACAAACAAACAAAAAAGACUAUACUGUGACCUUACCCAGAGAGAAGAUGAUCUGAUCUGCCUCUUAAAAGUGAGAUUUUAGCAGGUAGUGCUUGCUGACCAGAGAGGUCAGAUGCUUACUGAGCAGCCCCUUAGAAGACAAGGCUUGACUUCCAACUAGCAGACAAGGAAGUCUGUGGGCAUGCUCCAAGGAAACUGGUGAGAGCCGCAGGCAGCAUUUUGGAUCUUUGCAAAUUUGCCUAAGUGUACAUUGAAGGAAGAAAUCUCUGUUCCAGCAACAAGUGCUCAGGUCCUUAAGGAGAGCACAACUCUCCCUGCUUCAAGCUCCAGAAGCUACCCAGAAGCUUCAUCCUGGGACUGUACCUUAGCACUAACUCAGGACCACUUUACCUCACCUUGAGAGACUAAUCUUAGGACUUCCAUCCAUCCCAAGAUACAGCUGGGCUUGUAGCAUCAAUUUCAGACUCCAGGGCACACCAAGAAUGCACACUGUAAUAAUCUUUGUGGGCUGUCUCCACAUUUGAGCAGAGGUUUCUGUGGGCUUGAGAUUGGAAGUCUUGGGUCCAAGAGUUGGCUCCAGUUCUCCUCAGUUUGUAGGUAGCAGAUUCCUCUUGAUGUCCUGUGUUCUCCCUCUGUACCCUUCUAAUGUCUGUGGCUCUAGGGUUCCCUUCAUAAGGACCCCAAAGACAUUACAACAGAGCCCACUUUUCAGGCUUCCUUGAAUCGAUGACCUUGAAGGAACUGUCUUUUAGUGUCACCUGCUUAGUGUCAGGGACUUCAUCCUUCACCAUAUGAAUUGGGGUGUAUCUUGUCCAACCUAAGGCACUCAAGAGAGACUCAUAGGGUCAGGGCAAACCUGACAGAAAUUUCUCACAGAGCCCCAUUCUAAUUGGACCAGACUUUGUAAAUGUUUGUGUCCCAGGUCUUUCUGGUACUGCUGUCCAAAAUUGUUCUCAUGGUAUAAAUCUGUCAUUUAUGGAGGGAAACUGAACAAAAGGCUUCGCAUCAGUAAGGAAGAAAAAGGCAGUCGACUUGUAGAUGGAAUCCAAUUAUAAAUAGAAGAGACCCUAAGGAAUCUGCUAAAAUUUAGCACUGAAUAGUGAGUUAUACAAGACCAAUGAAUAUAAGAUCUGUCAGCAGAAAUGAAGCAGUUCUGUAGCCUAUCAGUAAACAGCACAAAAUUAAGGUAAAAUUUCUAUGUCAUACAGCAUGUUUAAAAAAAUCAAAAGUAUUUUCAAAUUACUUUGACCAAACACAUACUAAACUUUUAACUAUAGCUUCUAUUAUUUUUGAAAUCUAGAAAAUAAUAAACUUCAUCAACAUAUUACAGAGAUUUUCAUAAUCAAGUGAACACAUUUAGAAAUUGACAGUGUAUAACUCAGAGGUUUUCAAACUCACACCAUGGGCUCUCUUUACCAAUCAGAGUUUAGAAGUGCAGAUAAUGCUGUCUCACAUUACUCUGUGAGAAGAUUUAGAGAGUUAAUUCCCUAACAGCAGGGUCCGCAUCCCAAUGUGGAGACAGAAUUCCCUUCAAGAGGGUCUAAAUCACCUGCAGGUAUGAGUAGCCCCCUCAAAGGAAGGACUGAAUCUCCUGCAGGCGAGAAUGACAAAAAUGAGAGGAUCCAUAGGAGGAGGGACUUAAUUUCUUCUCUGAUGAGACUGGAGCACCAGCAGGAAUUUGACUCUGUAGUCUGAGAGAUUAUUUUCAUCAUGAUGUUCUGAGUUCCCUGAAUCCACAGCUGGAACACUGAGCCACCACCAGGAACACUGAACCUGGACCAGUUGUCUUAAGGGCAUUAAAUACGAAUUUCACUUCUUUGGCUAUUAAAAUCCCACCAUGCUCUAGCUUCCUUCCAACAUCCACCACCCUUCAUUCCCCACCAUCUCAGCUUCUCAAUGAAUCCUUCCUCUCCUUGAUUUUCCAAGCCUACCUACGUCUUAUGAGCACCUACACACACACACACACACACACACCUGGCUUUGAAGGGAUCAGAUUUUUAUUUUUAAGGCUGAACUGUUUCUAUGGCUUUCUCUGUAAACUCUGCUUCCCAGCUACUUUCCAUGGCACCUUCCUGACCAAAAGAUAAAAGAGUCUCGAGUGUACAGCUUGCAUCCCUGGUAGUCCUCAGGUCUGGAGCUGAUGGGCUCAGAGCCAUGGGGUGUGUGUGUGUAGCCGGCCAGGCCUUGCUGAGGCUGACUUGUCUUGCCUCUGCAAUAUGUGAAGGAGUCUUCACAACCUGACAGUUGACUUUCUCCUUGCUGAGACUGUUUCUACCAUUUCUUGCACUCUGUUCAAUCAUGGUAUUUCAUGUGGGCAUGUACAUGCUGUGUUGGUCCAUUCUUCUUUUGGAUCCUGGGUUGCAGGUUAAAGAAAAAAAAGGUAGUUGAACUGGAAACAGAAAAUGCUAUUCUGACCCUGAGAUCCGCAUAGGUAAUCUUUGUCCUGUAGACUGAUUGACUGAUGAGACACAUGUGAGUGUUAGCUUUGCGGAGACUACUGUAGUUGUAAAAGAUGGAAAGGACUGCGGCUUUCCUUUGACGGCUGGUCCCCUCCAUUGAGAUUGCCACUUAGUGUGUCAUCCAGUAGUGGAACAGAAAUUAAUCCUAAAUCUUUCUUCCUCGAGCUCAGAAGUAUUUAAGGAAUAAUGCUUUAAUGAUACAUCCAACAGCUGGUCCUGGACAGCUGUGUUGUACUGUUUAUGCACCAUGAUUCACCCACAUUAAUUUUAAUUGAUGUAUAGAUAUAGUAGUCACCUCCAACCCCCAAAUACUUGGUCUCAAUAAGUGCAAACCCAGGUCAUCAGAUAUGGUUUCUCAGACACCCCACAGCACGCCGCACUCCGAGUGGGAUGCUGCACAGUUCAGAUGCAGACAUUUCCAGUGUGGCUGGGUGUUCAGUGUGCCCUUCAUCUCCUCACAGGCUCUUCUGACACAACCUCCACUGAAACUCCAGUUGUUUCCUUUCCUUGGACUUUUGUUUUGAAGUAUAGUGCUCUUUUUUCAGGUCCUGAUUCUAGAAGGCAUUGAAUCCCCUGCAGACACACAGUCUGUCUUGUCUUAAACUGGUACGUGUGUGUGUGUGUGUGUGUGUGUGUGUGUGUGUGUGUGUGUGUGUGUGUGUGUGAGUGUGUGUGUGUGUAUGUGUGUGGAGUUGUAGUAGUAGUAGUAGUAGUAGUAGUAGUAGUAGUAGUAGUAGUAGUAAAUGAAGUUCCACAGACCAAGACAACAACUCAGGAUACAGAACCCCCUGCAAGAGAUCCUCAGCUGAAAACAUGGAAUUCAGGAGGGACUGAAGACAGCUGACGUGCAACAUGAUGCUAAUCUUACUAAGAUCGUCAACUUUUCACCCAAUACCUGUGAAGCUAGAGUAGCUCAGAACACACUGAGAAGUGUAGAGAGAAAGAAUUCCAUGCCUAUUUUCCUCUGCCUAUGAGAAAUAGGUUUCAGGACCGUAAAUAGUUUUUGAGGGUAAGUUUCUCUUUUAUAAACAUCAGUCUUUUUCUCUUAUAUACUACUUUAAAAUUAUUUAUUUUUAUUUCACUUGCUUUUGUGUUUUACCUGGAUGUGCAUCUGUGUGUGGCUGUCAGAUAUCCUAGGAAGUUUGUUGUGUAUGGGCAAUUCCAUGUAAAACAGAACAAAGAGGAAAUGCAACAUCAACAGUAGCAAUCAGGUCUCUCUCCUUAGGCCCCUGUGGAUGUAGCUGCCCUUGGGACUGACAGAGUCUUCUUUGUUAAUGCAUGCCAUACACUGAGCUACAGCUGUGAUGGCUCCUAUCCUAUGGCUACCACAGCACCUGAAUCUUGCCCUAUCUCCAGGAUACCUGCAUCCAGCCUUGUCUCCAGGCAAACAUGCUGAGGAAGAAACAUUAGCCACAUGUAAACAAUGUGGGAUUUGUAAGUACACAAAGAAUAUAUUUUCCCUAUCAAAUAUGCAUUAUAAAAGGAGGAUAACAUGAAGGAGAGAGAUGCUAUAGACUAGGACUCCAGUUACACAGUGGUUUCCAUAUGGAUUUGUCAGACAUGACUAGGAAGGGUGUUGGGAAUCUGUGCAGACUUAGACAAACACAAAUGCUUUUCUGUAAUGGGAUCCAAGAGGAAAACAGGAUCAGAUGAAAGCUCCUUACCCAAGGAUGACCUCUCUUCAGUGAGAAGGCCAGAGUUAUGUGUGGCUUCCAUUUCAAGAUCUCGGGUGGAAUGUGUGAGUCAGGUGUCCUUGUGCCUGCUGUUCUCCAGUGCUUUUAACAAGAAGGCUUCCUCCUUCAAAAUGGCAAGCUUGAGUGUGGCAAGGUCUCUCCCUUCUGUGGUUGGAUUAUGGUUGUCCAACAAGGGUGUACAUGAGUAUAUUUACACUGUGUGUAUUAUGUAGGGCCCAUAAAACCCGAAGAGGGUAAGAUAUUCUAGAUCUUGAGUUGCACAUGACUGUGAGCUGACUUGGAAGUGUUGAAAAUAAGUGAAGGUCCUCUGCAAAGGCAGCCAGUGCUCUCAAACCCUGAACGAUCUCUCUAGUUCCUGCUCUGAAGGUUUUCUGAUGUCCUGUUGAUUACUGUCUGCUCCACCAGCCUGUUCCACAGGAAUCAGUCUUAUGAUUGUGUAGCAUCACAACACCAAAAAUAGUUUAAUCUCUGACUGGAUGCCUUUAAUGAUUUUACAAAUGAUAAAAAUUGACUAUAUUUGUUUUUGAAUAUUAACAGUGCCUCUGGAACUAAACUCAGAUCAUCAGCUAUUCCUUUCACCUCUGAACAAUCUCAAAAGCUCACACUGUAUAUUCUGUUCUGUCCUCAGUGUACCAUGUAUUUCUGUAAUCACCAGCAUUGUUAAAGCAAGCCAAAUGAGAUUUCUAAAAUCUUCAGAUUUUGAAAUUUACAUUCACACAUAGCUUGUGCUACACAUCAUUAAUCCCCCCUUUCAGGAGAGAGCAGGUCUCGUUACUUCAAAACCACCCUUGUGUACAGGGUGAGUUUUAGGACACCUUCAGUUUGUGGUGACACUCUGUCUCAAAUUAACCACACAACAACAACAACCCAACCACACUCACACAGAAACACAUGCAUGGAACACACUCACACACACACACACACACACACACACACACACACACACACACACAGAGCACUGUCCAAUUGCUACCGUACUCAUUCCUAAAGUGAACUUUCAGUGUAACUGUACUUUAACCUCAACUUCCUCAGUCCUUCCAGUCUGCAGGCUUCUCUUAAACCCUGAGGAAUUGGCAACUGACAUCAGACCGGUUUCUACUUCCUGGUGGGGUAAUUGGUUUGUGUUGUUUUGUUAUUUUGUACUCCCUUAGCAGACCUCCCUAGGCUCUGAGAAGAUUCCAUUCACUUCCUUCAGAGGACUUUAGUGUUUUUAAGUCAUACUCAACAAAGUAAGAAACCAUUUGUUCUGACUGCAGCAUUUAGGAUCAUGUUGAAUAGGUACCAGCAGAAUGUACGCUGUUUAAGAAGUAGGUCUGUGGGUUAGGACUAGGUGUAAUUUCAUCUGCUGAGUGAAUGAGUGUUUGCUUCAUGUCCUUGCCCCUUUUGCCUUCUGUGGUAUUUUUAUUCCUGAAGACUAAAGGGUUUGAGUUUGGGUUGGAUCCUUCUGUGAUUUCAGUGUCCAAUACCUCUAGACCUAUACUGUAAGUGUGACCAGAUUAACAGGGCUGUUGAUUUUCCAUGGAGAUGCUUGUUUACAUUUUUACUUAAUCCACAUCUUAUGUGAAAGUGGAGGGAGUGCAGCUUGCUGGCUCUGCAGCAACACACCAAGACCCAGAGUUAAGGUUCUCUCUGUUACUGAUUCGAAUUCCUGAAUCACCAUGACAUUUUGCAUGAGCUAUCCUCCACUGUCUCGGGCAUUUGAGUACUCCUUUCCCAGUUGGUGACUCUGUUUGGGAAGAUUCAGGAGGUGUGCCCUUGCUGGAGAAAGAAUGUCAGCGGGGCUGGGCUUUGAGGUUUUAGUGCUUUUGCACCACUCCCAAUGCACCAUCUGCUUUGUACUUGUGAUUCUAGUGUCAUACCUCAGCCUCCUCCUCCUUCCACCAUGCCCUGUAGUCAUGGAACUUAACCUCUGCUAACACACGUUCUCUGAAAUAGAAUCACUAAUGUCCUACUUGUUUUAUAGUUUGCUGUGCUCAUGGCAUUUCUGUCACAGAAAUGCAAAUGUAACUAAUGCAGAAGGUGACUUAAUGGAGUGGACUCUUGCUGUGUGACACCUGACGAUGCCAGGUUGUACUUGUUUCUUGUUUUGGGAAAUGUGUAAGAAUUCCAGUGCUCUAAGAUGAGUUUAAUGGGCUACACUGGCAAGAACUUGGGAGUCAGGAGUGCCAAGAGCUAUUCAGACUGUGGAAGCCCAGGAGAAGGGGAUUCAGAAGGAAAAAAAAUGUUUGUAACUGGUCUAGGAUAAUUCCUAUGAGGCUUUUACAAAAAUGUGGCUUCCUUUCUGCCCACAUCCUAAAAACUUACUUGAGGCUAAAUUCAAAAGUAAUAAACAAAUUUCUUUGAUGAAAAUUUGAAGAGAGCCCAGUAUGGCCUCUGUCAUACUGUGCUUAUACUCUUCAAUGAAAAAUAGCAAAUGGGGCAAAAAGAAAUACAAAAUGUACAGUUUACAGAGAAAAAGACACUGGGAAGACUAAUAUUAUAGCCAAUGCCUAUACCAGAAGAGAGCCUGAAAUUGCUUGGAGAUUAGCAUCUUAAUAAGAGGCCAUGUCUCCUCAGGUGAAGACAUCACUCAACUAACUUAGUAAUCUGUGGUAGAAAAUGACUUACUUAGAGUUUUCCUGCUAUUAACAGACACCAUGACCAAAGCAACUCUUAUAAGAAGAACAUUUAUUUGGGUUUGGCUUACAAGUUCAGAAGUUUGGCUCAUUAUCAUCAAGGUAGGGGCAUGGCAGCAUCUAGGCAGACAUGUUGCAGGAGGAGCUGGGAGUUCUACAUCUUCAACUGAAGGCUGCUACUAGAAAACUGAUUUUCAUGCAGCUAGGACAAGGAACAUAAGGGUCACAUCUACAGUGACACACUUCCUCAAUCAAGGCUACACCUAUCCAAUGAGGGCUCAUCUGCAAAUAGUCCCACUCCCUGGGCUCAGCAUAUUCAAAUCAACACAUGAACAUUAGGUAUUUUCAGUUCCUGAUAUAACUUUUGAUCACAAACUGCUGCUGCUAUGGUUCAUGGGGUCCAGGUCUUCUAGAAAUCAAGCAUCUUCUCAUGUACUCUAAUCAGUCACUGGAAGUAAGGAAGCUCAAGAAAGGACUGCUGUGUGGUCUGAGACAGCUGAGAAAGUCUGCUUGAGAAGGUGUGUCAAUUUUCUUCUCUACAUGGAGAUAGUAUGGAGGUUACCUGACCUUAUCUGGCCAGUUUUCAUGUUUGGAACCCCUGGACCCUAUUCAUUGUCAGGUAGGAAAGUGUCAUUUGGCACUCAAUGACAACUUGUGCCUAUCGUGUACCCAAUGUUGAUAGAUGACUUAAGAAUGUAGGUUUGAAAGGUGUCCAGUUCUAUCUGGGAAGGAGAACAGCAGGCCUGAGAGGAACAGGCUUCAUGUGCAGAGGGAGGUAUCAUCUGUACGUGGGUGGGAGAAGUUUAGAGACGGUUAGUCAAACCUGUGUAUCCAGGAGAGCUCAGUUAACUGUGGAAACAAUAAGAGUAAAGGUAACUUUGAACUUGGAGGAAGAGAAGAUUUGUUGCAACUGUUUGUGGACUGUGCUUCAGAGAUGAUGAGACAUAGAGAAGCUCUGUCUUGGGUUCAUGGCACUAAGCAUGCUAGCUGAGUACUUCACAUCUUAAGUUGUGUAUGAUUUUAGGGGUCUUACACAGAGGUUAUCACCUUAUCUACCAAGAGCAUCUUGCUUUACUUCUAGCAGUCACAUGAAUUUAAAUUUCCUACUUGUUUGUGUUCUUAAAAACUCACUGAUUAGUUUUAGCUGAGCCUCCUGGGAGACUUUGCUCUUAAGUGCUGUAAGUUUUACAUAUUUGGUGAUUAACAUAAAUAACUAUACAUAGGUCAAUACAGGGCCCACACUGACAUCACCUUGCUAUCUGGAGCUGUUAGCUCCUAGGCCAAGGUUCUCAAAUGUCUCUGCCUCAGAAAGAAAUGUGGUAGUUUGAUUUCAUAAUCUACUCACAUUCCUUUUGUCACCCAGGAUAUCUGCUAGAAUGAGAGGAUUCUGUCCCAUGCAGGACAAUCUAGAUACUGCUCCCCCAGCAGGAAUGAAAGGGCCACUUCCUGUCUCUGAGGGGCAGUCCCUGGUGUUCACUGUAAUGUCACCCAACAGUCCCACCUUGAAUCUGCUGUUCCACUUGAGCCUGGAGCCUCCCUUUUAUUCUGGGAGAUAAACAGGUAUCUCCAGCUAGGCAGAGUGGUUCAAACAUGAGAUUUCGUGAGGGCAGUGAGAGUGGUGUAUACACAUUGAGGGUUUCAGAUUGAAUGAUACUGAACUUAAUGUACUUCCUAUUAGAGUCAUCUGUGAGUGACAUGUGAGCUUUGUAUUAAAAUUUACUUUUACGUCCAAGAUUUCAUGGUAUGUCAAUGCCCUACUUGCUUUUGAAGAUGUCCAAGGAACUGGAUAUAAAAGAGAAAAUACAAAUCAGAAAAUGUUCCUAGGUGUACAGCACUUGUUUAGAUGUGCAAGUCCCAGUGCUCAACUCCAAGAGCACACAUUAUGCCUUAGAAAUAGAUGAUAAGUGCUCUCUCUCUCUCUCUCUCUCUCUCUCUCUCUCUCUCUCUCUCUCUCUUUCUCUCAUGAGUGUGUGUGUGUGUGUGUGUGUGUGUGUGUGUGUGUGUGCUUGUAUAUGUAUGUGAGAACCUGAAGGUGAGCCCAGGGUCUGCAUGGUCCAGUUGGUACAAGGAUCCCACAUUGUUUGACUCUCAUGUAGACAAGUAUAAUGUUGUUGGGGUGACCAGCAUAUAAACAUUGGGACACGAGAGAACUAUUUACAAAGCCAACAGUUUUGACUGAUUUAUGUGAAUUAGGGCAGAUUUGAGAGCACACUUAAGAGAUUUAAACUGUGUUUGAGAAAAUUAUAUAUAUAUAUAUAUAUAUAUAUAUAUGUAUACACACACACACACAUCAUAUCCCUGUACACCCCUUGGUUGGUGGUCUAUUUACUGGAAGCACUGGGUGGUCCAGCCAGCAUAUGUUGUUCUUCCUAUAUCGCAAGACCUCCUCUGUCACAGGACAUCCACUGUUUAAGCACCACCACUACCUCAGGAAGUCCACUGUCUGUGUGUCAACUCCACUGUUACAGGACUUCAAGUGUCUCAGUAUCUCAACUAUCACAGGACUUCUACUGUGCCGGAGCUCAAGUGUCUUACAACGUCCAAUGUCAUAAGAUCAUCAAUGUCACAAGAACUCCAUUGUCUGAGGAACUGCACUGUCCAAACAACACUAUGAUUGCAGGACAUCCACUGUGGAAACACCUCUACUAUAGUAGGGCCUCCACUAUCCAUAUAUCAACUCGACUGUCACAGAUCACCAAUUGCUGCAGGACCUCCACUGUCACAGGACCUCCACUGUAGGAGCACUACAACUGUCGCAGGAUCUCCAGUGUCUUAUAACCUGCUCUAUCCCAGGACUUCCACUGUUGUAGCACCACCAUGGUCACAGCAACUACACUGUUUCAGGACAUCAACUGAAGCAGGACCUCCAAUGAUGCUCCAACUUCUCUGUCAUGUGAUCUCUACAGUUACAGGAAUACUCCUGUAUCAUCAAUUCCAAUAGCUGGACCUCAGUUGUCACAGGACCUCCACUGUAGCCGAACCUUCAAUUUUGCAGCACCUCCACUGUAGGUAGAAUGACCUCCCCUAUCGCAGUGCCUCCACUUUCAAAGGACCUUCACUGUCACAGAACCUGCACAAUUUCAGUGCCUCUGCUGUUGCAGGACCUACCUCUUCACAGGAUCUGCACUGUUGCAGCAACUCUAAUUGCACUUUUACAAAGGCAUUACUGGUUAUUAGAUUUGAGGCUCAAUGGAAUGUGAUGUUACUUUCGUAAACAUAAGAAUUUGUUCUGUGCCUCUUGUGAUUAAUGCCACAUGUGCUAGGACCAGUAACUUAUGGAAAGAUUCCAUGAGGUCAUAGCACUCUCCACCUCACCUUGUGGAAACUGGUGUUUUCAGAGGAUGAUAAACUUCAGGUGAAGGGAUGCAGUCAGCAAGACCACGCUCUAGAGUGGGGUACACAGCAGUCAUAUUGAGUCCCUGCUGGGAAGAAAUCCAGAAGAGGGAGAAGGCUUGGGUUAGAGGAAGAAUCGUAAAAUAUUUAGAGAAUAUAAGAAGGUAAGAAUUAUGGGGAACUGGAAAACAGAGCCAGAGGAAGAAUGAGCACAGAGCAAACUGGGAUGGACAAAGCACAAAUGUACCUGGGUUGUGCCUUCUGCAUGUUCUCUGGACGAUCGCCUUGUGCCUCAUUUCUGGGAGAACACUCUCUUCUCCCCAUAUAAAGUUUGUUUCUUGAAAGAAAGCAGCAACACAACUUCAUUAGUGAAUUCCCUAUUGAAAUUUGUUCGUUCCUUCAAAGCCUCUGGGAAGGCCCUAGCUGGGGAAAGUCCUCUCUGCUGAGAAACAGCAGGAAAGUAGGUUGUCCUCUGUGUUCUCAUUGCUACUGCUCUUCUAAGUGUGGUUGAUUGUUGAUUGAAGACACAGGGCACUUCCAGCAUGUAUGUAUGCUUUAUUCAGUGUGGGUGGCAUUGGCUGUAUCCUGAAAAGAAGGGCAGACCCUUCUGCCUCCUCUUUGACUAGGCUUAAGAUCAUAGUCAGACACUUAACCAUUGGAAGAUGAGACCAAUGUGUCUACAGUGUACUCACUUCUAUUCCUCUUUAGUCCUAGAGGGAAAUCAGUGCCAUCAGCAAGGGUGGGGAAUGGGGCCCUAACUGGACAAACUUGCUGAGCCUGGGUUAUGCAGCCAUGCCGGUGAAUAGCUUCCCCUUACAUUAAGUAAUAAGAUGCCAUGCUCUGGUUGUACCUUCCCUGAUACAGUGAAUCUAUAAUCUCUUGGCCUCAAAACCCAAUAUAUUACAUUGCUUUCACAAGUGGAGUGUCUGGCAUGAGAGGGAUCAUUUCCUCAUAGGGAUUUGGGAACCACUUACAGUCUUCAUUGAGCAUGGGUGUGUCAUCACCUAUGUGACUGUUAGCCCAUAUCUGUGAUUCACUGUCAUUAGGAGGCUAAGCUGCCUCUUCUGACACCCCACAGUGGGCCGGAUACACACCACUCACAACCUGUCUCCUCAGCUCUUGUAUGACAAAAUGUAACCCUACUCCUAAGUCCAUAUGUUGGGUUUAUUUUGUUUUUGGAACAUCCUAACGUUUUCCUAGGAAGAGAUCAGGUGCACCAUUAGGAUAAGCACCAUGCUGCCAGUUCAGCAUUUGCCCAAAUUUGACUUGCCUUGAAGGCCAAAGUUGAUGAUUUUGACUUUUCCAUUCUUCUCUAACAGAAUAUAAUCUGGUUUCAGGUCACUGUGUACUUUUACAGUGCCCAUAGCCGUAGAUUAAGCCUGCUAAUAUUUACCCAAAUAUUUCCUUGACCCUGUACUCCUCUAAGGGGAAAGACUUUCAAAUGUAUUUGUAAAGCUGUAAAAUUUCAACCAGUUUCAUGAUAAGUUAUUAGACUUGUCUCAGACUCAAUUGGAGAAGCAAGAUGAUGUUGGGGUGGAUGAAAAUCUUCAUUAUAUUUGCCAUGGUCAUGUUUGGCUGGCACCAUUGCUUCUUCUUUGCAUGCACUUUGAUAACCCCUGUAGCAGAACUUCCACUGUCCCAACACCUGCACUAUCCCAAGACCUCCACAGUCAAAGGACCAAUAUUGUGGUAGGGUGUCUGUGGUCAGGCAACUUCACUGUCUCAGACCCUCCAAAUUGCAAGACCUUUACAGGCACUGGAAGUUACUGUCCCUAAACUUCCACUGUUGGAGUACCUCAACUGUAACAAGGACCUCUAUCAUUGCAGAACCCCCUUGUCAUAGCACCUCUACAAUUAAAAGAAGUCCACUGUCAAAUGACCUCCAGUGUCUCAGCCCCUCCACUGUUGCAGGAUCUCUACUGUCUCAGGAUCACUACUGUUGCAGGACCUCCCCUCUCUCAGCAGCUCCAAUUUGCAGGAGCUCUCCUAUCAGAGGACAUUUACAUUUUCUGUACUUCCAGUGUCACAGCACCUCAACUGUUAAAAGAAUUUCCAUACUCACAGGACCGCCAAUGUCUCAGUAACUCCACUGUCCUAGGACCUUUAUGUUAUAGGACCUCUGCUGACACAAGAUGUCCACUGUUGCUAGACUUCCACUGUCAUAACCACUCAACCAUUACAAGGACUGCAAUUUUGGCAUGACCUCCACUGUCCCAUCCCCUCCAGUGUCAUAGGACCUCCACUCUCACAGGAUAAUCCACUGUCUCAGCAAGGCCAAUUUUCAGGACCUCUACUAGGACAGGAUAUCCAUGGUAGCUGGACGUACACUGUUGAAGUACCUCAACUGUUGCAGGACCCACAGCGUUGCAGGACAUGGACCCUCUCAGCUUCUAGAAUUUGCAGGACCUCUACUGGCACAGAAAUCCCACUGUUGCUGGAGAUCCACUGUCAUUGAAAAUGCAUUGUCUCAUGAUAUUCACUGUUGCUGGACCAAUAGUGUGGCAGCACCUCCAUUUUAUCCAAACCCCUCCACUGAUGCAGGAUCUCCACUUUUGUCGUACCUUCACUGUCCAAGCAAACCAACUAUUUCAGGAUCUCCAGUGUCUCAGGGCAUUCACUAAUGCCCGUCCUCCAACGUUGUAGGAUAUCCACUUUCUCAACAGCUACACUUUGGCAGGACCUCUAUUGGCAGAGAAAGUCCACUGUUGCUGGACCUCCACUGUCAGUGCAAAUGCACUCAUUCAGGACCUCUACUUUUCUAAGGACCUCUAAUAUUGCAGGACCUCUAAUGUCCCAGGACCUCAAGUGAUGCAGCACCUCCUUUGUCCCAUCACCUUUACUGUCCCAGAACCUCCACUUUCCCAAGACCUAUUCUGUUGCAGGGCCUCCAAAGUUGGAAGAACUGCACUGUAUCAAGACCUCAACUAUUGCAGGACCUCCAUCAUUUUAGGAACACAAAAGUUACACUGUCCAUAACCUUCAUUCUCCUAGCACCUCCACUCUCACAGGACCUACACUGUUGGCAGGAACUCCAAUGUCUAUGCAACUGCACUGUCUCAGGACCUCAAUGUUCCAGAACCUCCAAUGGUGCAGGACCUCCACUGUCAUGGACCUCCACUGUCUCAGGACAUCCACUCUAUCACCACCUAGACUUUUGCAGGACCUCUACUGGCCCAGGAUCUCCAUUGUUGCUGGUCUUACAUUGUCUAUAGACCUCUACUAUCACAGAAAUGCCACUGUUGUAGAACCUUCACUGUCACAGGGCCUCCACUGUCCAAGACCUCCACUGUUGCAGAACAUCCACUCUUGCAGCAUGUGCAUUGUCUCCUGACCUCCACUACAGCAGUCAAAUCUCCACUGUAUCGUGACUUCCACUCGUGCAGGUCUUCCAAUGUUGCAUGACCUCCAAUGUGAAAGUAACUCCACUAUCUCAGUGCCUCCACUGUUACAGGACCUACACUGUCAGAGGAUCUGCACUGCUGCACCAGCUCCACUGUCACAUUUUUGAAAGCAUUGCUUGUUGUUAGUGUUGAGGCUUCAUGAAAUGUGAUGCUACCUCUGAAAAGUUAAGAAUUUUUUCUUCAGCUCUUGUGAUUAAUGUCCAGAUGUGCUAGAUCAGUAGCGCAUAGAAAACUCAAUGAGCCGAUAGCCUUCGAAGCCUCACCUUGUGGGUUCUGUUGUCUUUUGGGAGUGCUAAAGUCCAGGUGAAGGCAUGUGGUCAGAAGGAUAACUCUAGUGUGGGGUACACAUCAGUUGUGUUGAGUUCCUGCUGGGAAGGGUAGAAAUCCAGAACUGAAAGAAGGCUUAUGGUGGAGUAAGAAUCAUACAAUGCUAGAAUAGGUGAAACAGAAACAAUUUUGCAGAAAUGGAAACCAGAGACACAGGAGGAACCAGCACAGAACAAACUGGGUAGGACAAAGCACAAAGGUACCUGCGCUGAGCCUGCCUGCUGCUUGUUCUUUGGAUGUACUCUAGCCUUUAUUUCUCAGGAGAGACACUGUGCUGUCCCAGGAGAGUUUUCUUGCUUGAUGGAGCACAGGAAUACUGCUUGAUUUGGAUAUUCCUAAUUUCUUGGUCCACCCUGUAAAUCAUCUGAGCAUGCUCCUGCUUGGGACAGUCUUGCCCUCUCCUGAGGCCCAGAGGGAUAAUAGGAUGUCUUCUGUGGUUUCAUUGCUGCUUUCGUUCUCCCUGAGGCUGCUUGUUGACUGAAGGCAGAAGACACCCUGCCAUGUAUGUUUUGUCCAGUGUGCUGUCACCUGGAGUGGCCUGAAGAAAAGGCCAGUCCCAGUGGUUCUUCUGAAUCUUCUAUGACUAGAGUUAUGGACAUAGGCAUAAAAGAGGCCAUGGGGAAUGACAAGUUCAAUGUGCCAAUGGUGGGUUGGUUUCCACUCCUCUGAAGUCCUAGAGGGAAAGCAGCAUAAUCUUUAAGGGUAGGGAAUGGAGCCCUAACUGGACUCAAUGAGGGAGCCUGGUUAUGAAGCCAGCACCUGGAUAGCCUGCCCUUUCAGUAAGCCAUUGGACGCCAUUAUCCGUUAAUAAUUUUUUUUGAUUUAAAGAAUCUUUAUUUCUUGGGCUUAGAACUGAAUAUAUUACAUCACUUCCACAAUUCUAGGGUGUGGCCUGAGGUAUCAUUUCCUCAUAGGGAUUUGGGAAACCCUCCCAUUAUUUGAAGCAAGGUUGCAUUAUGAGGUUUGUGACUGUCAGCCUAUAUCUGGGGUUUACUGUGAUUAAGAGAUAAUGAUGAUGGUUGACCAUCAUAAACGUUGACAAAGAGGAGUUCAGGGGCAACAGAAGUGUAAGCACCACAGUGGUGCUUCAGCAUUUGCCCUGGUUCAACUCGGGUACUAAGGCGAAAUUCGAUUAUUUUGUUUUUUUCCAUUAAUAUCCAAGAUAAAUACUAUUUGGCUUCAGGUCCCUGUGAAAUAUUGUGUGCCCAGGGCAGUAGUUCAUCACUGCUAAUAUUUGCAAUAUAUUUUACUGACUUGUCCUGCUUUAGGUAGCCAUACUUUUGGAUGUAUUUGUAAAACUGUUGAGCUUCAACAAGCUCCAAGACAAGAUAUAAUAUUGUUUUGGUCUCAAUUAUUUGAAGAAGCCACGUGAUGUUGGGGUUGUCACCCAUCAUCAUCACUGCCAUGGUCAUUACUGGCUGGCAUUAUUAUUUCUCCAUUACAAGGACUUUGACAGCCACUGUCACAGGACCUAAUCUGUGGUAGAACCUCCACUCUCAGGCAACUCCACUUUCUCAGGACCUCCAAAUUGCAGGACCUCCCCUGGCAUAGAAUGUACAUUUUUGCAGGACUUUCACUCUUGUAGCAACUCAACUCUUAAAAGACAUCCACUUUAGCAAGAUUUCCAGUGUCUUAGCACCUCCCUUCUUGAAGGACCCCCACUAUUGUAGGACCUCCACUGUUGCAGCACAUCCAUUCUCUCAGCAUCUAGAAUUUUGCAGAAUGUCAACUGGCAUAGAAAGUCCACAGUUGCUGGUUCUUCAAUGUCAUGAUAAAUCCACCGUAUCAGGACCUUCACUGUUGCAGGACCUCCAGUGUUGAAGCACAUACACUGUUUCAGGGCCACCACUAUCACAGGACCUUCUCUGUCACAGGAUCGCCACUCUCUCAGCACUUAUGCAGUCACAGGACCUUCAUUGAUUUGGACCUCCACUCUUGGAGAACCUCCACUGGUCAAGCACAUCCACUAUCUCAGAAACUCCAGUGUCUCGGGACAUUCACUGUUGCAGGAUCUCCCAUGUCUUAGCACACUUAUUUUUGCAGGACCUCCACUCUCGCAGACUCAUCUCUACUGUCUCAGGACCUACACUAUAACUGUUGGACCUCUAAUGUCACAGGACCUCAAAUGACACUGGAUCUCCACUGUCCAAUCACCUUAACUGUCCCAACUCCUUCACUGUCGCAGGACCUACACUGUUGCAGGACCUCCAAUAUCGGACCAAUUUCCUGUCUCAGGGACCUCCAAUGUUGCAUGACCUCCACUGUUAAAAGAUAUCCACAGUUGCAGGAUAGCUAGUAGAGUUUUGCAGGACCUGUAGUGGCCCAGGACCUCCAUUGCUGAUGGUCCUCCACUGUCUCAGUACCUUAACUAACACAGGACCUCCACUGUUGAAGCACCUCCACUGUCCUAGGAUGUCCACUAUUGCAGACAACCUCAGUCUUAAGUACCUCCAUUUUUGAAGGACCUCCAUGGUGCAGGACCCCCACUCUUAGAGUGCCUCCAUUGUUGUAGCACCUCCACUGUCCCAGCCUCAUCUCCACUGUCUCAGGACCCAUAUUAUUGCAGGAUCUCCAAUGUUGCUGGACUUCUACUGUUGCAGUACCUCCACUGUUGCAGGACCUACACCGUAGCAGGAUCUGCACUGUUGCACCAAUUCUACUUUCACAUUUUGUUGACAUUGCUGGUUAUUAGAUUUGAGUCUUAAUGGAAUGGGAUAUUACUUUUGAAAACACAGGAAUUUUUUCUGCAUCACAUGUGAUUGAUGACCACAUAUUCUAGGACUGAUAUCCCCUGGAAGAUUCCAUGAGCCCUUAGUCCACCAGUCUUCACCUGGUCAGAGGUGUUGUGUUUUGGGAGAAGUUGAAUCCAGGUUAAGGGAUGGGAUCAGCAGGACACAGUUCUGUAGAGUGGGCUACAUAUCAGUCAUAGUGAGUCCCCUCUGGGAUGAGUAGAAAUCCAGAACUGAGAAAAUGCUAUUACAGGACCUCCAUUGUCUAAACACCUCCACUAUUUCAGAACCUCCACUGUCCAUACAUCAACCAGCUCCACUGUCCCAGAGCCUGAGAUGUUGAAGAAUCUCCACUGUCACAGGACCUCCAUUGCUGCAGGACCUCCACUGUCACAGGACCUCCAAUGACUCAGCAACUACACUUUUGUAGGACCAGCAUUGGCACAGGAUAUGCACUGUUGGUAAGCCCUCCACUAGCCUAUAACCUCCACUGUCCCAGAACUUCCACUGUUGUAGCACUACCAGGGUCAAAGCAACUACAGUGUUUCAGGACAUCAACUGAAGCAGGACCUCUAAUGAUGCUGCACCUUCACUGUCACAGGAUCUCUACAUUUACAGGAAUACCACUGUGUCAGCAAUUACAAUUUUGCAGGACCUCAGUUGUCACAGGACCACCGCUGUAGCCAAAUCUUCAAUUGUGCAGCAUCUCCACUGUAGGUAGAAUGACCUCCCCUAUCGCAGUGCCUCCACUUUCAAAGGACCUUCACUGUCACAGAACCUGCACUAUUUCAGUGCCUCCACUGUUACAGGACCUACCUCUUCACAGGAUCUGCACUAUUGCAGCAACUCUAAUUACACUUUUUCAAAGGCAUUACCAGUUAUUAGAUUUGAGGAUGAAUGGAAUGUAAUGUUACUUUUGAAAACAUAAGAAUUUGUCCUGUAUCAUUUGUGAUUAAUGGCCACAUGUGCUAGGACCAGUAACCUAUGGAAGAUUCCCUGAUCUGAUAGCUCUGUAGCCCUCAUCUUGUUGAAGCUGUUGUGCUUAGAGGGUCAUACAGUUCAGGUGAAGGGAUUGGAUCAGCAAGACAACUCUGUGGAGUGGAGUACAAUUAAGUCGUAUUGAGUCCCAGCUGGGAAAAGGAGAAAUCCACAAGGCGGAGAAAGCUUGUGGUGGAGGAAGAAUCGUGAAGUACUUAGAGAGUAUAAGAAGGUAAGAAUUGUGGGGAAAUGGAAAACAGAGCCAAAGGAAGAAUGACCACAAAGCAAAGUGGGAGGGGUAAAGCACAAAGGUACCUCGGUUGUGCCUUCUGCUUGUUCUCGGGGUGCUCUCGCCAUGCCUCAUUUCUGAGAGAACACUGUUCUGCCUCAUGUAAGGUUUCUUUCUUGAUGUAAAGCAGAAACACAACUUGAGGGAUUCUCUCAUCUUCUUGGUCCAUCCUUUAAGUCCUCUGGGAAGGCCCCAGCUGGGGAAAGGCCUGCUCUCAGCUGACAAACACCUGGAGAAUAGGUUGUCCUUUAUGUUCUAAUUGGUGCUGCUCUUGUAAGUGUGUCUGCUUGCUGAGUAAAUGCAGGGGAAACCUCUGUCAUGUAUAUAUGCUUUGUCCAGUGUGGCUGUCAUCGGAAGUGUCCUGGAGAGAAGGGCAGUCCAGUGACUCUUCUGCUUCCUUUUGACUAGCCUCAUUAUUAUAGGCAGACAUUAGACCCUUGGAAGAUGAGGAGACCAAUGUGUCUAUGGUGUUCUCACUUCUACUUCUCUUUAGUCCUAGAGGGAAAUCAGUGCCAUCACCAGGGGUAGGGAAUGUUGCCAUAACUGGACAAACUUGCUGACCUUGGGAUCUGCAGCAAUGCCCAUAGAGAGCCUGCCCUUACAGUAAGCAAUGGGAUGCCACGGUCUGGUAAUAUUUUCUUUGAUGUAUCUAUAAUAUCUUAGGCUCGAAGCCCAAAAUAUCCAAUUGCUUCCACAUUAGCAGUGUCUGGCGUGAGGGGGAUCAGUUCCUCCAAGGAUUUGGGAACCACUUCCACUCUUCAUUGACCAGGGGUACAUCACUACUUCUAUGACUAUCAACCCAUAUCUGGGGUUGACUGCCAUUAAGAUGCUACACAGAUCUCCAGCUCUUCGGACAUCCCACAGUGGGCAGGAUACACACCGGCCACAACAUGUCUUCUCACCUUUUUAUAACAACUGAGUCAAAUCCUACAACAGUGAAAUAUAAGCCUACUCCUUAACUCAAAUAUUGUUCUUUGUUCCAUUACAAUGUUUGCCUAGGAUGUAAUAACAGGCAUCAAAAUUGUAAACACCGUAGUGCCAGCUCAUCGUUUUCUCAGGUUCAACUUUGCUAGGAAAGGCCAAAGUUGAUGAUUUUGACUUUUCCGUUCUUGUGUAACAAAAUAUCACUCGAUUUCAAGUCUCUGUGAACUACACCGUGCCCAUCACAGUAUAUCGAGUCUGCUAAUAUUUGCCUAAAUAUUUCCCUGACCUUGUCUUCCUCGAGGUGGCAAGACUUUCAGAUGAAUUUGUAAAGCUAUAGAAUUUCAACCAGCUCCAUGAGAAGGUAUAGAUGUGUCUCAGACUCAAUUACCUGGUGAAGCAAUAUGAUAUUGGUGUGGAUGAAUAUCUUCAUUAUAUUGGCCAUGCUCUUGUCUGACUGGCACCCUUGCUGCUUCUUUGCAUGCACUUUGAUAACCACAGUAGCAGGACUUUCACUGUCCCAGUCACUGCACUAUCCUAAGACCUCCCUUGUCACAGGACCUCCACUGUGGUAGUACCGCAGCUGUCAGGAAACUCCACAGUCUCAUUACCUCCAAACUGCAAGAUCUCUACUGGCACAGGAAUUGUACUGCCCCUGGACUUCCACUGUCACAGCACUUCAACUGUUACAAGGACCUCUACUGUUGUAAGACCUCCUAUAUCACAGCACCUCCACGGUGACAAGGACCUGCAUUGUCAAAAGACCUCCAGUGUCUCAGCCCCUCCACUGACUCAGGACUUUCAAAUUGCAGGAACUCUACUAGCACAGGUCAUCCACAGUUGCAGUUCCUCAACUGUUAUAAGGACCUCCAUUUUUGCAGAACCUUCAGUGUCCCUGCACCUUCACAGUCUCAGCAACGCCAACUUGCAGGACCUCUACUAGCACAGGAUGUCCACAGUAGGUAUACUUACACUGUUGCAUUACCUCAAUUGUUGCAGGACCUCCGAUGUGGUAGGACAUCCACAUUUUCCGCAGCUAGACUUUUGCAGGACCUCUACUGGCCCAAAAAAAUUCCUCUGUUCUGGACCUCCACUGACAGUGCAAAUGCACUGUCUCAGGACCUCCACUGUUGCAAGACCUCCAAUGUUGAAGGAUGUCCAUUGUUUUAGGACAUUCCCUGUCAAAGAACCUCAACUGACACACAACCUCUGCAUUUGUAGGAUUUUCACUGUCCUAGAAAACCAAGUAUUGCAGGAAUUAUAAACUUGGAGCAACUGCAUUGUAUUAGGACAUUUACUCUUGCAGGACCUGCAGUGUGGUUGCACCUCCAUUUUAGCCAGGUCUCAACUGUACCAGGCUCAUCUCUGCUGAAUCAGCUCCUCCAACACUGCAGAACAUCCAAUAUUUCAGGUCCUCAAACAUCCCAGGACCCCAAUUGAUGAAGGACUUCCAAUGUUGCAGGACCACAAUAGUCACAGGUCCUCCACUGUCCCAUCACUUUUAUUUCUCCCAGCACCUCCACUCUCACAUGGCCUACAAUGUUGCCUAACCUCCAAUGCCUGAGCAACUACACUGUCUCAGGACCUCGAUUGUUCCAGAACCUCCAAUGGUGCAGGACCUCCACUGUCACCAGAUCUCCACUGUCUCAGAACAUCCACUCUAUCACCGACUAGACUUUUGUAGAACCUCUCCUGGCAUAGCAUCUCCAUUGUUGCCAGCCUUACAUUGUCUCAAACCCUCCACUAUCACAGGAGUGCCACUGUUGUAGAACCUCCACCGUCACAGACCUCCACUGUUGGAGGACCUCCCCUGUCUAAACACAUCCACUAUUGCAGGACCUCCACUGUCUAAGGAAUUCCGCUGUUCCAGGACAUCCACUCUUGCAGCACCUGCAUUGUCUCUGGACUUCCACUGUACCAGUCCCAUCUCCAAUGUCUCAGGACCUCCACUCUUACAGGACCUCCAAUGUUCACAACCUCAAAUACAAAACUGCACUAUCCCAGUGCCUCCACAGUUGCAGGCCCCAAACUGUCUCAGGAUCUGCACUGUUUCAUUAAUUCCCCUGUCCCUUUUUUGAAAGCAUUGCUGGUUAUUAGUUUUGAGGCUUAAUGGAAUGUGAUGGUAUUUUUGAAAAAAUAACAAUUUUUCCUGCACAUCUUGUGACUAAUUACCAGAUGUGCUAGGAUCAGUUGCCCCUAGAGUUGUGCACGAGCCCACAGCCCUCUAGACCUCGCCUUGUGGCAGCUGUUUUGUUUCGGGGGUGUUACAGUCCAGGUGAAGGCAUGGGGUCAGCAGGACAACUCUGUAGUCCGGGGUACACAUCAGUCACAUUGAGUCCUUGCUGGGAAAAGGAGAAAUCCAGAAUAGGGAGAAGGCAUGGGGAGGAGGAAGAAACAGACAGUACUUACAGAAGUUAAAACGGAAACUAUUUGCAGAAAUGGAAAUCAGAGACACAGGAGGAAUCAGCACAGAGCAAACUGGGCAGGACAAGGCACAAAGGUACCUGGGCUGUGCCUGCCUGCUGCUUGUUCUUUGGAUGCUGUGUCUAUCCCUCAUUUCUCAGGACAGACACUGUCCUGUCCCAGGGGAGUUUUCUUGCAUGAUCGAACAAAAGAACACUGCUUCAUUUGGAUAUUCCUAAUUUCUUAGACCAUCUCUUAAAUCCUCUGGGCCAGGCCAUGCUGGGGACAUACUUGCCUACUCCAGAGGCACAGAGAGAUAAAAGCAAAGGGUAAUCAUCAUAGUGUUGGUUCUGUAUUUGCCCUAUAUCAACUUGGUUCAUAAGGCCAAAGACCAUGACUUUGACUUUUCCUUUCUUGUCCAAGAAAAUAUCAUGUAUUGUCUUCUGUGUUGUCAUUACUGCUUCUGUUCUCCCUGAGACUGCUUGUUGACUGAAGGCAGCAGACACUCUAGCAUGUAUUCUUUGUCCUGCAUGGGUGUCAUCUGGAGUGCCUGGAGGAGAAGGCCAGUCUCAGUGGUUCUUAAUCCUCUAUGACUAGUGUUUUGGACAUAGGCAGAAACGAGGCCAGGGGGGAUGACAAGUCCAAUGUGCCAAUGGUGGGUUGGUUUCCACUCUAAAGUCCUAGUGGGAAAGCAGCAUAAUCAUAAGGGUAGGGAAUGGAGCCAGUCUGAGACUGGUUGUGAAGCCAGGCACUUGGAUAGCCUGCCCUUCCAGUAAGCAAUUGGAGGCCAUGGUCUGGUUAUACUAUCUUUAAUAUAAAGAUUCUUUAUAUCUCGGGCUUAGAACUGAAUAUAUUUUAUUACUUUCCUCCCAUUCUUUGAAGCAGGAUUGCGUUAUUACAUCUGUGAUUGUCAGCUUAUAUCUGGGGUUUACUGUUAGUAAUAGAAAAUUAUGAUGGUUGACCAUAAACAUUGACAAAGAAGAGUUCAAGGGCACCAAAAUUGUAAGCACCAUAGUGCCGGUUUAGCAUUUGCCCUGUUCAAUUGGGGUACUAUGGAUAAAGUUGCUGAUUGUGGCUUUUCCAUUGAAAUCCAACAUUAUAUUAUAUGGCUUCAGGUAGCUGUGAAACAUUGUGUGCCCAUGGCAGUAGAUCAUCACUGCUGUUCUUUGCAAAAUAUUUUCCUGACCUUGUCCUGUUCUAGGUAGCCAUACUUUUGGAUGAAUUUGGAAAGCUGUUGACCUUCAACAAGCUCCAUGAUGAGACAUAAUUUUGUUUUGCUCACAAUGACUUGAAGAAGUGAGAUCAUGUUGAGGUGGUUACCCAUUAUCAUUACUGCCAUGGUCAUUACUGGCUGGCUCAUUGCUUCUACAUUAGCAGGACUUUGAUGUCCACUAUGCAGCAACUCCACUGUGAUAGAUACUCUGCUGUCUAGGCAACUCCACUUUCUAAGGACUACAAAUUUGAGGACAUCUACUAGCACAGGAUGUACACAUUUGCUGGACUUUCACUGUUGCAGCAACUAAACUCUUAAGGGAUGCCCACUGUUGCAGGUUUUCCAGUGUAUCAGGCUGCCACUCUUGAAGGACCUUCACUAUUGUAGGACCUCCACUGUUGAAGCACAUCGAUUAUCUUACCAACUAGAAUUUAUAGGAUGUCAAUUGGCACAGAAAGUCCACUGUUGCAUGACCUCCAUUCUCACUGUAAAUCUACUGUCUCAGGACCUCUACCUUUGUAGGACCUCCAGUGUUGAAGGAUUUCCACUGUUGCAUGUCCACCACUGUCACAGGACCUCCUCUGUCACAGGACUUCCACUCUUCCAGGCUCAUCUCCACUGUCUCAGGACGUCUACUAUAUCUGUAGGACCUCCAAUGUCGCAGGACCUCAACGGACACUGGACCUUCACUCUCCAAUCACCUUAACUAUCAAAGAACCUCCACUGUCUCAGGACCUUCACUGUUUCAGGGCCUCCAAUGUUGGAGCAACUGAACUGCCUCAGGGGCAGGACCUCCAAUGUUCCAGGACCUCCAUUGUCACAGGGCCUCCACUGUCACAGGAUAUCAACUCUUUUAGACUUUUGCAGGACUUCUGCUGGCACGUGACCUCCAUUUUUGAGGGUUCUCCAUAGUUUCAUUACUUUUACAUUGACAGGAAUACCAUUCUUGCAGAACCUCCACUGUCCCAGGACCUCCAGUAUUACGGACUUCCUCAGUCCAAGUAGCUCCAUUAUUGAAGGACAUCUCUGGUUGCAGGACAUCCACUUUUACAGUGCCUCCGUUGUUAUAGGACACCCACUGUUCCAGCCUAAUCUCCACUCUCUCAUUAUCUCCAAUAUUUUAUGAUUGCCAAUAAUGGUGGACUUCCAUUGUUACAGUAAUUCCACUAUCUCUGUGCCUACAUUGUUUCAGGACCUACACUGACUCAUGAUAGGCACAGCUGCAUCAAGUUCACUUUCAAUUUUUAUUGACAUUGCUAGUUAUUAUAUUUCACCCUUACUGGAAUGUGAUGUUACGUUUGAAAGCCCAAGAAUUUGUUUUUUUAGCACAUGUGACUGAUUUCCACAUGUUCUAGGACUGUUAUCCCCUGGAAGAUCACAAUAGCUCAUAUCCCUCUAUUCCUCACCUUGUGGGAGCUGUUGCCUUUCAGAGGGUAAUGCAAUUCAGGUGAAAGGAUAGGAUCAGCAAGUGAUAACUUUGUAGAGUGGGGUAUACAUCAGUCACAUUGAGUUCCUGAUGGGAAGAGGAGAAAUCCAGAACAGGAAUAACCCUUGGCAUAGAGGAAGAAUCAAAAAGUACUUACAGAAGGUAAGAAGGUACCAAUUUUAAAGAAAUGGAAAUGAUAGAGGAAGAACCAGCACAGAGCCAACUGAGUAAGAUAAAGCACCAAGGUACCUGGGCUGUACCUGGUCCUUGUUCUCUGCAUGCUAUCCUUAUUCGUUCUUUUUGGGGAGACUCUGUCCUGCCUCUUGUGAAGUUUCUUUCUGGGUGUAAAGCCAUAACAAAGGUUCAUCAGGGAACUUCCCCCAUUUCUUCCUCCAUCUCUUAAAGCCUCUGCUCCGACACCAGCUGGUGAAUAUCUUGCACUCUUCUGAAGCACAGACAGAGAAUAUGUUGUUUUUUCUGUUCUCAUUGAUGCUGCUCUUCUCCCUGAAGCUGCUCAUUCAGUAAAUGUGGGAGACAGUGUCUUUUGUCCAGUGUUGGUGUCAUCUGGAGUGGCCUGAAGAGAAGGCCAGUCCCACUGGGUCUUCUGCCUACUCUAUAACAAGAAUUUUGGAUAAAAACAGAAGUUAGACCAUUGGAAGAUGACGAAACUAAUGUGCUGAUGGUGGGCUGGCUUCUGCUCUUCUUUAUUCCUAGAGGGAAAGCAGCAGCAGCAUCAAUGUUAGGGAAUGGUGCCAUAACUGUUCUCACUAGGUGACACUGUGUUGUGCAGCCAUGUCCCUUGAUAGCCUGCCCUUGCAGUAAGCAAUAGGAUGCCAUGGUCUUGAUAUACUUUUUUUGGUACCUGUAGUAUCUAGGGCUUGGAACCAAAUAUAUUGUAUUGCUUCCACAAUUGCAAGUUCUGUCCUGAGUGUGAUCAGUUGCUCAUAGGGAUUUGGGAAUGCUUUUCUGUCUCUCUUGAACUAGAUUUGCAUGAUGGCGUCCAUGACUGUCAGCCUGUAUCCGGGGUUUACUCUCAUUAAGAACUUAUGCAGGUCAUCCAGCUCUUCUCAUAUCCCACAGGGGGCAGGAUUCACACAGGCUACAACCUGACUUCUCAGCCCUUUUAUGACUAGUCAAAUGAAACCUCUGACUACCAUGAAAUGUAAGACUACUCAUGUCUUCCCUGUGUCAUUCUUUGGACUAUCAUAAAAUUUGCCUAGAUAGAGCUCCACGGCAGCAAAAGGUAAUCAUCAUAGUGUCAGUUCUCUAUUUGCCCUAUAUCAACUUGGUUCAUAAAGCCAAAGACCAUGACUUUGACUUUUCCUUUCUUGUCCAAGAAAAUAUCAUGUGUUUUGAGGUUUCUUUGAACUAUUAUGUGACUAUGGCAGUAGUUCAUGUCUGAUAGUAUUUACCUAAAUGUUUCCCUGGUUUUGUUCUCCACCAACUGGCCAGCUGUUCAGACGUGUCUGUAAAACUGGUGACCUUCAAGUAGCGUCACGACAAGGUAUUGUCUUGUUUCAGACUCAAUUACUUGGAGUAGUGAAAUGAUGUUGGAAUGGUCAAAAAUCAUCAGUACAUGUGCCAUCUUCAUUACUGGCUGUCACCCUUGCUUCUUCUUUACCAGCACUUUGACAGCCACUGUAGCAGGACAUCCACUGUUCCAGUAUGGUAAUGACCCAGCACCUUCACUAUCACCGUUCUUCCACUCUUGCAGGACCUCCACUCUUGCAGGACCUCCACUCUUGCAGCACCUGCAUUUAGUCAGGACCUCCACUGUACCAGUCCCAUCUCCAUUUUCCCAGGAACUCUACUCAUGCUGGUCCUCCAAUGUUGCCUGACCUCCAAUGUAAAAGUACCUGCACUAUCUCAUUGCCUCCAGUAUUGCAGGACCAACAUUGUCACAGGAUCCACACUGUUUACUAAGUCCACCAUCACUGUUUUGAAGGAAUUGCUGGUUAUUAUUUUUGAGGCGUAAUGGAAUGUGAUGUUACUUCUGAAAACUUAAGAAUUUGUUCUUCAGCUCUUGUGAUUAAUUGCCAGAUAUGUUAGGAACAGUUGCCUCUGGAAGAUUCCAUUAGCCCAUAGUAGGCCUCUAGGCCUGACCUUGUGGGAGCUGUUGUAUUUUGGGGUGCUCUAAGUACAGAUGAAGGCAUGGGGUCAGCAGGACAAGUCUGUAGAGUGUGGUACACAUCAGUCAUAUUUAAUGCCUGCUGGGAACUAGAGAAAUAUAGAACAGCAAGAGGGCUUGGCAUAGACCAAGAAUCAUAUAGUACUUACAGAAGUUAAAAAGGAAACAAUUUUGAACAAAUGGAAAUCAGAGACACAGGAGGACCCUCAUAGAGUAAAUUGGGUAGGACUUAGCACAAAGGUACCUGGGUUGUGCCUGCAACUUGUUCUCUGGAUGCUCUAACUGUGCUUCAUUUCUCAAAAGAGACAAGGUGUUCUGCCUCAGGUGAGAUUUCUUUCUUGAUGAAGAGCAGCAACACAUUUCAUCAGGACAUUUUUUUUUAUUUCUUGUUCCAUCCUUAAAGCCUUUUGGAUGGCCACUACUGGGGACAGUGUUGCCCUCUCCUUAGGCACAGAGGAAUAAUAGGUUGUCUUCUGUGUUCUCAUUGCUGCUUCUUUUCACCCUAAGGCUGCUUGUUGACUGAAGGCAGAAGACACCCUGGCAUGUAUGUUUUGUCCAGUGCAGGUGUCCUCUGGAGUGGCCUGAAGAGAAGGCCAGUCUCAGUGGUUCUUCUGAAUCCUCUAUGACUAGAAUUAUGGACAUAGGCAUAAACAAGGCUAUGGGAGAUGACAAGUCCAACGUGCCAAUGGUGGGUUGGUUUCCACUUCUCUGCAGUCCAGGCCUAGUGCGGAAGUAGCAUACUCAUCAAGGGUAGGGAAUGGAGCCAUAACUGGAGUAACUGUCUGAGGCUGGUUGUGAAGCCAGGCACCUGGAUAGCCUGUCCUUACAGUAAUCAGUUGAAUGCCAUGAUCUGCUUAGACUUUCUUUGAUAUAAAGGAACAUUAUGUCUUGUGUUUUGAAUGGAACAUAUUGCAUUACGUCCAAAAUUCCAGGGUGUGGCUUGAGAGGUAUCAUUUCCUCAUAGGGAUUUGGGAAAUGCUCCCAUUCUUCUUUGAAGCAGGGGUGCAUUAUCAUGUCUAUGAUGGAUAUAUCUGGGUUUGACUGUCAUUAAGUUGCUAAGCAGGUCAUCUAGCUCUCUUGACACCCAACAGUGGUCAAGAUACACACCUGCCACAUGUCUUCUCAACUCGUGUAUGAAAAUAGAGGCAACAUUUCCAACUACCUUAAAAUGUAAGACUCUAGCAUUCAUAUGUGGUUCUUUGAACCAUCAUAAAUUUAUCCUAGGAAGAGUUCAUGGGCAUCAAAAGUGUUAGCACCAUUGUAAAGGUUCAGCAUUUGCUCUGAUUGUCUUGGGUACUAAGGUCAAAGUCAAUGAUUUUGGCUUUUUGUUUCUUAUCCAACAUAUUAUUUGUUUGUCCUGUGAUUAUUCUGUGCCCCUGAGAGUAGAUCCAGGCUGUUAAUAUUUGCAUAAACUUUGCCAGGCCUUGUCCUUCACUAUGUAGCUAUACUUUGAGAUACAUUUGUAAAGAUGUUGAACCUCACCCAGCUCCAUGACAAGGUAUCCACUUGUUUUGGUCUCAAUAACUUGUAGAUGAUGUUGGGGUAGAUAAACACAAUUGUUGUCAUUGCCAUGGUCAUUACUGGAUGGCAUAAGUGCUUCUUCCUCACAAGGACUUGGAGGCCACUGUAUCAGAACAUCCACUGUCUUAGCACCUGCUUUUUCCCAACACAUCCACUGUACUGUCUGUCCAAGCCUAUGUUUUGUUGCCUUGCCCCUGAACUUCCUGCCAUUGCAGAAGGAAGUAGGAUGACAUGGUCUGGUUAAUAUAUUGUCUGGUUGAAGUGUCCUUAGUUUCUAGGGCUUGGAAUCCAAUGUAUUCCAUUGCUUUUUCACAUUAGCAGGGUCUGGCCUGAGGGGGAUCAGUUGCUCAUAGGGAUUUGGGAACUGCUUCUAGUCUUAGUUGAACUAGGGUUGCAUCAUGACCACAAUGACUGUUGGCCUAUAUUUAUGGUUGACUAUCUUUAAGAGGCUAAGUAGGUCCUCCAGCUCUUCUGACACCCCACCAGAGGCAGCAUAUACCUCUUUUACAGCCUGUCUUCUCAGCUCCAAAAUUAAGAGAGAAUCAAAUGGAAACUUUCUGACUGCCAAAAAUUAUAAAAUUCCACCCAAGGUCCAUAUUUUGUUCUUUGGAACAUAAGAAAAUUUUUCAACGAAGAGUUCAGGGACACCAAAAGUAUAAGUAUCGCAGUGCUGGUUCAGCAUUUCCCCUGGGUAGAAUGAGGUACUAGGCCAAAGUUCAUAAUCUUGACUUUUCAAUUGAUAUACAAACCAGCACUCUUUGGCUUCACGUCCCUGUGAAGUAUUGUUUGCCCGUAGAAGUGGCUCAUCACAGCUAUUAUUUGCACAAUAUUUCCCUAGCCUUGACUUGCUCUAGGUAGGCAUAUUUUGGCACACAGUAAGCAAGAUGAUCUCCUGGUUUGAUUAUGCAUUGUAAUAUCUUAGACUCAGAAUCCAUUAUGGUGCAGUUCUUCCACAAAUGCAGGGUCUAGCCUGACAGAGCUCAGUCCUUCAUAGAGAUUUGGGAAAGACUUUCAGUCUUCCUUUAACCAGGGGUACAUCAUCCCAUCUGUGACUGUCAACCUAUAUUUCAUGUUGACUAUCAUUAGGAGGCUAAGAGGUCCUCCAUCUCUUCUGACACCCCGCAGGGGUUAGGAUACAUACAUGCCACAAUGGUCUUCUCAAUUGUAGUAUGAAUACAGAGUAAGAUCUGACUUUUUUAACUACCAUGAAAUGUAAAACUCAGGUCCAUUUGUCAUUCUGUGGACUAUCAUAAAGUUGCUGAGGAAGAGUUCAGGAGCUCCAAAAGAGAAAGCACCACAGUGCCACUUCAGCAUUGCCCUGGUUCAACUAGGGUUCUAAGGCAAAAGUCUAUGAUUUUGACUUCUCCAUUUAUGUCCAAUGGUAAAAUUAUCAGGUUUCUGUUCCCUGUGCACUAUACCCUGGUCAUUUCAUUAGCUCACAGUUAUGAUUAUUUGCCUAAAUAUUUCCCUGCCUUUGUCCUCCCCUAGGUGGUCCCAUUUUCAGGUGCUUUGGUAAAGCUGUUGUCCUUCAACAAGUUCUUACUUGCAGAAGUGAGAUGCUGUUCAGGUGGUCGACCAUCAUUGUCUCUGCCUUGGUCAUGAGUGUCAGGCACCAUUGCUUCUUUAGAAGCUGUUCGAUUGCUCUGGGGCUGCCACUGAGUCGAAGGCGUUGCUCCUGUGUCCCAUGGUCCUUAAGACUUUGUAUUGAGAGUGGAAUUUUCCCUCAUCAGAAAUUCUGCUGAGGGCUAGGGUGUGGGGUCUGCUCUUUACUAUGUGUAAGCAUUGUAGCUAAAGAUACUACAAAUAUAACCUACAAAUAACUUAAAAGUAUAGAAUAAAAAUAGUGGAAAAGAUGUAGGGAAACUGAAGCUAAAUUCACAGCAUGUGUUUACUAAAAUGACCAAAAUGUCUUUGGGAUUGCAAUUUAUUCUUUUAUUUGUUUUUGUUUUACUUUUUGUUUUUGUUUUUUUCUUUGUUUUUUGGCUCUCUCAAGAGGGCAACCCUGUAGUGCAAUAGAUCACAUAUUCAGAUGAUGUCAGGUGAAAUAGUCAUUGGCCACAUAAAGGCUAAAGCCUGUGUUUGGGCAAUGGAAGGAAAGACACAGCAGAACUUUUUGGGGAAUGGAGAGAAAGAAGAAUAGAGGCGGAAGAUUCGGGCAAGAAGAAGAUGGGGGAGAAAGAGGUUGAAAAUGGAGCAGGCACACGUGGCUUGCAGGAGCCACAAGUAGGUAGAGAUUUUAUAAAUGGGCAAUAGAGUAGUGUAGUGGUAGAUUUGUCUAAUCUAAGCACUCAGCUUAUAAUUAUAUAAUUGAGUUUUCUGUUUUUGCAUGGGCCUUUUGGCGUUGGAGAUUUACCCCUAUAAAUCUGGCUAGUAGAAGCUUCUUGGGUUUUCAUUACAAAAGACUAAGGCAAAUCCUGUGAGAGGAGCAUUGGCCAGCCUUCUGCAGGUCGGGGAGAUGGGGUGGAUGAGAUAAGAAACGCAAGCAGCAGUCCAGGCAUUUCAGAUUAAAGUUGUUUGGUUAGAGUAGCAAACUAGGAGCAGGAACCAGGCAAGAUGGAUGCAUAGACCUGGCCAUGUGGGUUGAGCAUUACCACUGAUACCAGAGCAUAGCAGGAAUUUGCAUUCCUGUGUUCUCAUUGCUGUUGUGUUCUCUCUGAGGAUGAUUGUUGAAUGAAUUCAGGCGACACUGCUGCUGUGGAUGUAUGUUUGUCCAGUGUGGGUGUAAUCUGGUGUGGCCUCAAGAAACAAAGGGCAGCCCCAGUGACUCUUCUGCCUACUUUUUGACCAGAUUGUGGUCAAAGGAAGUCACUAGACCAUUGGAUGAUGAUGAGGCCUGUGCGUAUAGGGCGAGGUAGCUACCACUCCUCUACAGCCCAACAGGAAUGCAUCAUCACCAUCAAGGAAAGGGAAUAACUGGACUCAAUGUGUGAGCCUCCAUUGUUCAGCCUUGCACCUGGAGAACUUGCCUGUACAGUAAGCCACAUGAUCCCAUGGUUUUAUUUUAUAUUACAAUAUCUUAGGCUCUGAACCCAGUAUGUUCUAUUUCUUCCACAAUUGCAGGGUCUAGCCUGACAGAGCUCAGUCCUUCAUAGGGAUUUGGGAAAGCCUUUCAGUCUUCCUUUAACCAGGGGUACAUCAUCACAUCUGUGACUCUCAACCUAUAUUUCGUAUUGACUAUCAUUAAGAGGCCAAGAGGUCCUAUAUCUCUUUUGACACCCCACAAAGGUUUGGAUACAUACUUGCCACAAACGGUCUUCAAAACUGUAGUAUGAAGACAGAGUAAAAUCUGACUUUUUUAAUCUACCAUUAAAUGUAAAACUAUGGUCCAUAUGUCAUUCUGUGGACUAUCAUAAAGUUUGCUGAGGAAGAGUUCAGGAGCUCCAAAAGAGAAAGGACCACAGUGCCAGUUCAGCAUUGCCCUGGUUCCACUUGAGUUCUAAGGUGAAAGUCGAUGAUUUUGACAUUUCCAUUUAUGUCCAUCAUAAACUUAUCAGGUUUAGAUUCCCUGUGUACUAUACCCUGGUCAUGGCAUUAGCUCACAGUUGCAAUUAUUUGCCUAAAUAUUUUUUGCCCUUGUCCUCCUCUAGGUGGCCCCAUUUUCAGGUGUUUUGGUAAAGCUGUUGUCCUUCCACAAGCUCUUACUUGUAGAAGUGAGAUGCUGUUCAGGUAGUCAACCAUCAUCAUUGUCUCUGCCUUGGUCAUGAGUGACAGGCACCAUUGCUUCUUUAGAAGCAGUUCCAUGGCCAUGGGUCUGCCACUGAGGCAAAGGCGUUGCUCCUGCGUCCCCUGGGCUUUAAGACUUUGUUUUGAGAGUGGAAGUGUCCCUCAUCAGAAAUUUGCCUGGGGCUUGGGUGUGGGAACUCCUCCUUACUAUGUGGAAUCAUUGUAGCUAAGAAUACUACAAAUAUUCCCUAGAAAUAACUUAAAAUUAUAGAAUAAAAAUGAUGAAAAAGAUGUAGAGAAACUGAAGCUACAAUCACUGCAUGUGUUAACUAAAACUGAGCAAAAUGUCUUGUGGACUGCAGUUUUUUGUUUUGUUUUUCUUGCUCUCUCAAGAGGGCAACUCUGUAGUGCAAUAGAUCACAUAUUCAGGUGAUGUCAUGGGAAAUAGUAAUUGGCCAAAUAAAGGCUACAGCCAGUGUUUGGGCUAUGGAAGGAAAAGAUAGAGCUGAAUGUUUUGGGGUAGGGAGAGAAAGAAGAAUAGAGACGGAAUAUUCGGGCAAGAAGAAGAUGGGGGAGGAAGAGGUUGAAAAUGGAGCAGCCCCAUGUGUCUUGCACGAGCCACAAGAAGGUAGAGAUGUCAUAAAUGGGCAAUAGAGUAGUGUCGUGGUGUAUUUGUCUGAUCUAAGCACUCAGCUUGUAGAUAUAUUACUGAGUUUUCUGGUCUUUGCAUGGGCCUUUUGGGGUUGGAGAUUUACCCCUAUAAAUCUGGCUAGUAUAAGCCUCUAGGGUUUUCAUUACAAAAGACUAACGCAAGUCCUGUGAGAGGAGCAUUAUCCAACCUUCUGCAGGUCAGCCAGAGGUGGUGGAUGGGAUGAGAAAUGCAAGCAGUAGUCCAAGCAUUUCAGAUUAAAGGUGUUUGGUUAGAGUAGCAAACUAGCAGCAGGGACCAGGACAAGAUGGCUGCAUAGAGCUAGCCAGGUGGGGUGAGAAACACCACUACUACCAGAGCAUAGCAGGAAUUUGCAUUCCUGUGUUCUCAUUGCUGCUGUUGUUCUCACUGAAGCUGAUUAUUCAGUGAAUUCAGGCGACACUGCUGGCAUGGAUGUAUGUUUGUCCAGUGUGGGUCUCAUCUGAAGUGGCCGGAAGAAGAGAAGAACAGCCCUCUUCGCUCUUCUGCCUUCUCUUUGGCAAGAUAAUGGCCAAAGGUAAACACAAGGCCAUUGGAGGAUGUGGAGACCAGUGUGACUAGGGUGGGGUAGCUUCCACUCCUCUUCAGCUCAAAGGUAAUGCAUCGUAUACAUCAAGGGUAGGGAAUAACUGGAUUCGAUGUGUGAGCCUCUGUUGUUCUGCCCUGCACCUGGAGAACUUGCCUGUACAGUAAGCCACAUGAUCCCAUGGUUUGAUUAUAUGUUGUGAUAUCUUAGGCUCUGUACCCAGUAUGUUCUAUUUCUUCCACAAUUGCAGGGUCUAGCCUGACAGAGCUCAGUCCUUCAUAGGGAUUUGGGAAAGCCUUUCAAUCUUCCUUUAACCAGGGGUACAUCAUCACAUCUGUGACUGUCAAACUAUAUUUCGUGUUGACUAUCAUUAAGAGGCCAAGAGGUCCUACAUCUCUUCUGACACCCCACAGAGGUUAGGAUACAUACUUGCCACAACCGGUCUUCAAAACUGUAGUAUGAAGACAGAGUAAAAUCUGACUUUUUUUAAUCUACCAUUAAAUGUAAAACUAUGGUCCAUAUGUCAUUCUGUGGACUAUCAUAAAGUUUGCUGAGGAAGAGUUCAGGAGCUCCAAAAGAGAAAGGACCACAGUGCCAGUUCAGCAUUGCCCUGGUUCCACUUGAUUUCUAAGGCAAAAGUCGAUGAUUUUGACUUUUCCAGUUAUGUCCAACAUAAUCUUAUCCAGUUUCAGUUCACUCGGUACUAUACCGUGCUCAUGGCAUUAGCUCACAGUUGCUAUUAUUUGCCUAAAUAUUUCCCUGCCCUUGUCCUCCUCUAGGUGGCCCCAUUUUCAGGUGUUUUGGUAAAGCUGUUGUCCUUCAAUAAGCUCUUAAUUGUGGAAGUAAGAUGCUGUUCAGGUUGUUGACCAUCAUCAUUGUUUCUGCCUUGGCCAUGUGUGGCCUACACCAAUGCUUCUUUACAAGCAGUUCGAUGGCCAUGGGACUGCUAGGGAGGCGAUGAUGUGAUAUCGGGACCUUGGCAUUGCUCCUUAAGUCCUUAAGACUUUGUACUGAGUGUGGAAGUUUCCCUCCUCAGAGAUUCUGCUGGGGCCUAGGGUUUGGGAAAUCCUCCUUACUAUGUGUAAGCAUUGUAGCUAAAAAUACUACAAAUAAUACCUAGAAGUAACUUUAAAAGUGUAGAAUAAAAAUAAUGAAAAAGAUGUUUGGAAACUGAAGCUAUCGUCACUUCAUGUGUUAACUAAAAUGAGCAAAAUGUCUUGUGGAUUACUGUUUGAAUUUUUUCCUCUCAAGAGGGCGGCCCUGUAGUGCAAUAGAUCACAUAUUCAGAUGAUGUCAAUUGAAAUAGUAAUUAGCCAUAUAAAGGCUACAGCCUGUCAUUGGGCAAUGGAAGGAAAAGAUAGAGCAGAAUGUUUUGGGAAAGGGAGAGAAAGAAUAGAGAUGGAUGAUGCGGGCAAGAAGAAGAAGAUGGGAGAGAAGAGGUGGAAAAUGGAGCAGGCCCAUGUGGCUUGCAGGAGCCACAAGUAGCUAGAGAUUUCAUAAAUGGGCAAUAGAGUAGUGUAGUGUUAGAUUUGUCUAAUCUAAGCACUCAGCUUGUACUUAUAUUAUUGAGUUUUCUGUUUUUUGACUGGGACUUUUGGAGUUUGAGAUUUACCACUAUAAAUCUGGCUAGUAUAAGCUUCUGGGUUUUCAUUUCAAAAGACUAAGGCAAGUCCUGUGAAAGGAGCAUUAUCCAACCUUCUGCAGGUCAGCCAGAGGUGGUGGAUGCGAUGAGAAAUGCAAGCAGUAGUCCAGGCAUUUCAGAUUAAAGUUGUGUGGUUAGAGUAGCAAACUACCAGCAGGAACCAGGACAAGAUGGCUGCAUAGAGCUAGCCAUGUGGGUUCAGGAUAACCACUGAUACCAGAGCAUAGCAGGAAUUUGCAUGGGUUUAAUUUAAAACUUCAUGCAAUAGAAGAUGUUGCCUGUGGUAGUCAACAAUCCACUAGGGAGUUAGGAUUCUUGUCCUAGGGAUGAGAGAAUUAGAUUCCUGAAUGAGCAGAGAUGAGUCAAGUGACUCCAGCACAUGGGAAUCUUAAUCAAACACAGUGAUAGACAGACCCAAAUCAGGCUCUGAGUUCUCCUCUUGUAAAAAGAAUCAGUAUAAUAAAUGGAUCCAGGCAGAGAGGGAGACUGAAGACUGCCUGCUUUUAAUGAAGUUUGGUUUAGUUGUUGCUAAUUUGGUGUAAUUUUGUUUAAAGAUAGAAGAGGACACAAUUUUGGCCACAGUCACCUGGGGAAUUCCUCCUGAGGUUCAGAGCUAACUCAGGGCAAAUGGGCCCAGAUUAUCUGGGAGCUCCUGCUGUGCAGGGACAAACUGAGCUAACAGAAAAACUACAGCCUCCAAGGCAGACAGCAGAAUUUGGAUAAGGAUGAAAUCCUCUAGGAAAGUCUCAGUGUCUCACAGGAUUCUCAUAUUCUCUCAAAAGAGGGUUAAAUGUCCUGUCUUGGCAGAUUAGAAAAGGCCCGAAAAAACUGUUUCUACUCUGCUUGUUUGGUUUAGUUCCCUCGUAUGAGUAUUUAAUUUUCGAAAUGUAUGUGAUUUUGAAUUUUCUGGUUAUUUUACUAUUCCUCUGGGAAAGAUGUCAACCUAAAAAUCUUUCUGGUUACUGGCUAAAGCGCAUGCUAAUUUGGGAGAAAGACCUUAUGUUUCUGCUUAUAGGAAAAGUAAUUAGGCACUGGACUCCUUCCAGGGUUCUCUGGGUCAGAAAGGGCAGAUGAGCCCCCCUGAAGAACUAGAAAAUUCAAGAGAACCAAGCAAGAAAGGUAAAGAUUCCUUAUGCCAUUGUUCACAAUGCAUGAACGAAGACUUAUGAUUAGUUAUUAUUAAAUUUGGCUCAUAAAAAGACUAUCUUUUCACAUGCUUAAACAAAGAGCAGUAUUUCAUCUUGAGUAGUCAAGGUAUUUCAUGUUAAACUGGUUCACAAUUGGCUUAGCAAUCGAGCCUCAGGAUGCAGAGUAACACAGCUGCAUAGAGCUAGCCAUAGGGACUGGGUGAAACUCUGAUGCCUGUGUUUAGCCAGACUUAGUGUGGGGUUAUUUUAAAAAUUACAUGUAACAAAAAGUGAUUGAAAGAAACUAAAGUCAAAGUUAGGAAAAUAGAAUAAAAAUUAUGGAAAAGAUAUCAGGGAAAAAGCUAAAGUCAAAAAUCCCAAGUAAAAUUCAAACAAAUAACCCACCUUGUAUUCUGUUCAGAAAAGUCACGAAGCUCUCUAGAAGGAGACAAGACAGGAUGCAGCUGUUGGGCUAUCUCAGGCAAACUCUGCACCAGAGCACCUGUUCAAAGAGAUUAGAACAUCAUUAUUGUAUCAUGGAUGUUUACUGGGAGAAUGGAAUGAUUUCACAGCUGAGUUGUGGAAUUCUAUAGAUCUAUAAAAUAACCUCUGCAGUGGAUAAUAUAAAGUUAUGAAAUAUCUUCCAGCUUCAUUAAUCAGAACUAUAAAUUUUCAAUCUAGCCCAUGGACGCUGAUGGUAACUGUCGCUUCUGUUUCCGACCCGCAGAAAAGAGCGACUACACAGCGUUCUUUUCAAAGCGGUUUAUUCAGGAACCUUACAACAUGCAAACAGGAAUCUUUCUUUUCUUUUCUUCUGUCUCCCUCCCAGCCCAGCCCCCGAGCACACUCCCUUAUAUCCUCCCUCAACUCCGCCUCCUCAGUCCAGACUGCAUAAUCUCAGUUCAUAGGUCCACGUCACAUGGCCUGAUCUUGCAUCAUGGUGCACCUGCACAGCUCUCACAAUGGACGUGGCUAGUUUCAGGUGUGUGAGGAAGUCAGAUGCUAGUCACGAGACUUAGCUGCAGUCCCAGGCGCCAUCUUGGGACUACCGCCACACCCGCUCCCCACAGGUAACUGUGAUUUCAAGGUCAUUUCCAAUCAUCUAUGUUAAGUGUUUUGACUCAAGGAAACUGGCAUUGCCAUAGAUGAAAUCAGUAAAAGGCAUAUUUAUUUCUUCUUUGCCACAUAACUAGACAAAUGUCAGUUCAAAAAGUUGCGAUUAUUUAGUGUACUUUUUUCAUCUCAGUUACUUAUGUAUUUUUUCAUUUAUUUAAAUUUCCAUACAUGUAUACAGUAAAAUAUGGUCAUAUCCACCCUAACAUCUGUCCUCCAACUUCUACAAGAUUCCUCUCAGAAUCACCCGAUUGACUCUAUAGCCCUGGUUGGUCUGGGACUUGCUGUGUAAAUCAAAUUAGCCUAGAACUCACAGAGGUCCACCUGAAUCUGAUCCUGGGCUUAAAAGUCAGCACCACUAAACCAUUCCUCUGUGUGUGUGUGUGUGUGUGUGUGUGUGUGUGUGUGUGUGUGUGUGUGUGUGUGUACAGAAAUACACAUACACACAUUUUUUGUAUCCCAGUAAGCCCUAUUAGUGCUAGUCAUACAUGCAUACUGUGUGUACAGACAUUCACUGGAUUAUCAGAGUCCUACCAGUGGCUUGUCCCCAAGGAAGAGUGAAUUUCUAUCAGCUGUUGUUAACUGCAGCUCCUCAUUUGAUGCAAGGGCUUAUAAGUUCUUCUCCCACCCAUGCACGAUGUGCAAACAAAUGACACAGCCACCUCCGUCACUUUACUCGGUUAACAUAUACUAAUAAAAUGUUAUGGUAUUUUCAAAUUUAUAUGUACCUGUAUUGUAUAUGUAUAAUGACACAUUGUAUAUACUUGUAAUGGCUAUUCUUGGUUGUGAACUUGACUAUAUGUGGAAUGAACUUCAAUCCAGAAUUGGAAAGCUCACCUUUGAUCCUGAUUUGAGGCUGGGAGACACAAAUUUCUGAACUGAAUCUUGGCAUGGAGAUCAUGAGGCAAAGUGGCUGUGAAUCUCAGGAGUUUAAGACAAGGAGAUCUCUGAGUUCAAGGUCACCUAGGACAAAGCAAGUCCCAGUUCCAGCUGUGGUGGUACACACCUUUAAUCUGGGACACACCUUCUGCUGGAGAUUUAUAUAAGGACAUUGGAAGAAGGAAGAGUCUCUCUUUCAUCUGCCUGCCUGAUUUGUAGGACUGAGCCACUGCUAGAUCCUUGGACUCCUAUCCAUACCUGUUGCUGAUCAUUGUUGGGGAGUUGGACUAUAGACUGCAAGUCAUCAACCAAUUGUCUUACUGUCCAGAGAUUUCCCAUAAGUUCUGUGUCUCUAAAGAACCCUGUAUAAGACAAUUCUCUUUUAUAAUAUAUAAUUUCUAUUGAUAGAUAAUGUAAUUUAUUUUUUUAUUCAUAAUAUUAUUAUAUUCAUCCCUAUGUUUAUAUGUAAAUAAAACACAGGUUGUAUGCCUAUGAAACAGUAACACACUGCAUACUUGAUGACUGCUGUCUUUUCCCUACUCCCUACUGCAGGGGAGAAAAUGGACCAUUCUCAUCAAUGAAAAAGGUAAAAUAAAAUGUUAACUAUUGGCUGGAAACACAGAUGGUUUACACAUAAAAUUACAUCUUCUUGAUUGCUACUUUAGAAAUUUAUCUUCAUUUCCUGAAGUCACUUUUUAUGAUACAUUACUAUAUCAAAUACUAUCUCAUAGUUUUUAAGGUAAGUUAAUUUUAUUCUUGGUACAAAAGUAUACACAUAGUGUUGUGCAACUUCCAGUAAUAUCCGGGUAGGGCUUCAUGCACAUGACUGUAUGGUUUAAUACUUCCCUAUGUGAUCCAAAGCUCUUUUGUUGUCAUAUUAUGAUCUCUAAGCAGAAUAUUUUUGAUCCUGAAAUUAUAUACAAUACCUAACUUUUUCUAAAACACUUCAUUAGCUCUCCAUAGAAUGCUAUUUAAGUGUGUUUGACUGUUCGGUCCCAGGAUAUGAAUUCCAGUAGAGCACUUUCUGGAUAAUAUUUCCUUACAAAGUGCUGUUAACUGCUUCCUCCAAGAAGUUAAUUUCUUGUCUUGAAAUUUAAACCUUAUGUUUAAAUAGAAGAUAGAGAAGGCAGAUGCUGGAUUAUUUAGUACCAAGCUGGUUUUCUGUCCUGAUAUGGGUAAGGGCUAGUCACUUGAGGUGUUUCUCAUUCCUUUGGAUUUGUAGCUGUUUCAGACUUUAUAAAUAAUCAUUUUGAGUAUUACAAGUCUAUGGGCAUUUUCUCACCAAAUUGUCCAUUUUUACAGGAGUAUUUUUCUUACAAGUUUGGAACCAUAAAAUAGAAACUUUCCUAACUAGUCAAGCUACUAGGGUGUAUGUGGGCAGGGUUUUGCACAUUUCCUGCUGUGUGAUUUAAUUGUGCUGUUCUGACCAUUUUUUUUGCAUAGGCUGCUGGCCAGUAUAAGCUGGAAAUCUAUGUUAAAUCGUUGUCCAAGGAGGUAUUGCAGAUGUGGUCAGUAUUUGUUUUAAAGGAAACAGUGAAAGGCAUUCUUCACUCGAGCUUUGUGAAAUAAUGUGCAGAUGCUUAUGGCUGUGGAUACUGUGUGGUGUGAGGAAUGCUGUUGUGCACUGACAGUGUGGUGUGAGGAAUGCUGCUGUGCACUGACUGUGUGGUGUGAGGAAUGCUGUUGUGCACUGACUGUGUGGUGUGACGAAUGCUGCUGUGCACUGACUGUGUGGUGUGACGAAUGCUGCUGUGCACUGACUGUGUGGUGUGAGGAAUGCAGCUGUGCACUGACUGUGUGGUGUGAGGAAUGCUGCUGUGCACUGACUGUGUGAUGUGAGGAAUGCUGCUGUGCACUGACUCUGUGGUGUGAGGAAUGCUGUGGUGCAUUGACUUGCUGCCUUUUUUCUUUUCUCCCUACCCCUGCAUCCUUCUGGUGGUUCAGGUUGGACAACUAGGUGCCCAUGACCAAGUCCUCAUUGUGGAUGGAUUUAGUCUAUUUGGACAUUCUCAGGAAAGGGCAGCAGAACUCAUGACUAGUACCAGUCCCAUGGUUACCCUGGAAGUUGCAAAUCAAGGCAUCCUCUUUCACUGCCUGUCCACCUUUCUUACCCAGCCAUUGUCCUCCAUGGUGCAGAGAGGUAAGAGCUAGUGACUCAAGCCAGGUUAGCCAACAUAUAGUGAUCCUGUAUUGGGAUAUGGCUACUCCUAAAAGUUAUCAAAAUCUGGGGCUGGAAAGAUGAUUCAGUAUUUUACAACACCAGUGUUAUCCCAAAACUCUAAUUUUAUGGGAUUUAAAGCACUUUUCUAAGUUCUCUGGACAUGAGUCAAGCAUUCGUGUGUACACAUGCUGGGCAAACACUCAUACACAUAAAUUAUUUUUAUAAAGAGAGGCCCUAAAAUUCCCAUGUAGUAGCUCCUACCACAGCUCUUGCUCAGCUCUUCAAGGAAGAAGUUAGUUGAGACUGAGUGCAUGAUGCUGAGAAAUACUUCUGGAUCAUGAUUCAGAUCAGAUCUAAUGGUACAGUUUCCUAGAUAUAGUUACAGUCUGUUAAGUGCAGUAUUGUGAACUCUCUUCUGACCCUGCCUCAGCUUUGGAACCUGCACACCUUAGCGCCUAACCUUUGUAGCUACAGUAUCAACAACAAUAUCAGUGUCUGACAACCUAGAAUCCUGUAUACUAAAGCGAGGAACAGGAAACAAUCCUGGCUAGACCAUGUGUUGGCAUGUUAAAGCAGAACACCAUUUAAAAACUCAAAGAGGGAAGUGGGUAACGAAUGAGUCCCGGGUGAGCAGACAGGAAGACUAAACUGUGAACAGGCAUUGAUAAUCACACCAGGGGACAGCACCAUGUGAUGCUGUCAUACUGAUUGAUGGAAAAUAAUAUGUGAGUUAUCAGGUGAGAGAAGAGUAGUUGAGUACUUUUAAAUAUUACUUGAAAAAUAGUUACUUUGUUAUUUACAAAUUAUAAGUCAGAUCUGAGAAAAUAAAUAAGGUCAAUUUCUCCCAUAGAUACAUACUAAGUGAAUGAAAAGUUUUUCUAGACAAUAUAUGUAAAAGCUUUUCAAAAUGUUCGUAUAAAGCUAUUUGUGGUGGCAUGUACCUUUAAUGCCAGCUCUAAGGAUGCAGAAAGAGGCAGAUUUCUGUGACUUUGGGGCCCUCCUGCCUGUGUACUGAAUUCCAGACCAGCCUCAAAUAUAUAGUGAGACCCUGGGCUAUGGUUUCUUCUGAUUGCUUGCUCGUUUUUGCAUUUUUAGGCUGGUCAAAGAAUGUAUAUAAAAGAUCACCCUAUUAUACCAAGAGCAGUUAUUAAAUAUAAGAAUUUUAGAUGCAUCCUUUGAAGCUCUUCAUCUUAGAAAAAAUGACGGAGAGAGAAUGAGUGAAUUGGCUUUGGUUUCAGUUUCAGAUCGUUAUGGCUCAGGUAAACCCAGAGCACAGAGUGAAGUUUUUAUGAGUUUUAUUUUUCUUGGAUAUUUUAUGUAUUUACAUUCCAAAUGUUACCCCCUUCCCAUGCUCUCCCAACCCCCUGCCCAUGCUUCUAUGAGUAUGAUCCCGCUACCACCCACCCAUUCCCAUCUCAAUGCCCUGUUCAGCUUGCAGCUGAAUAUUACACUGAAUAUGGGGACCACAAUGGAGGAGUUAGAGAAAGAACUGAAGGAGCUGAAGGGGUUUGCAAUCCCAUAGGAAGAACAACAAUAUCAACCAACCAGACCCCACAGCUACCAGGUAGGAAAACAUGAACUCAUGAGUACACAAGGAGGGAUCCAUGACUCCAGCCACUUAUGUAGCAGAGGAUGGCAUUAUCCAACAUCGAUAGGUGGAAGAGUAAAGGUUUUGAGCUCUAUAAUAAUUCAGCUCAAAACGGCUCCCCAGAGAGUCCUCAAGAGCCUUGGACAGAGCACAGUCAUCCAACGAAGCUGCCUGGUAAAGACAGGCUGAUGAAAAACAGAGCAGAUCACCCUUUCAGCUCCAAUGUGACAAGUAAGAAGAGGCAUUCUCUAAGUCACCUUGUCACCCAGAUCAUUGUUUAUACUUUGAUCAUUGUUUUUUGUGUCCCUUGGCCAGCUAGAAUACAGUUUUCAUAGAGGUCUCAUAUUAGUCCAAAAUUAGGAUUUUAUUUGGAAAACCCUUGACCUUAUAGAUCAAAAUGCACUGUAAAUGUGUCUUCAAAAUGGAUCGGGUUUCCAAGUUAGUGGAGAUCAUUUUUACACUUAAAAGAGUUGCUAACAAAGUAGUGAGGAUGGAGUAUACUGAAUAGAGACCCCAACGUCCAAAAGGCUUCAACCUCCAAAAGGCUUCACGUAUUUACUCUCAUGUCUCUAGCCCAGAUCUCAUCUGGUCCUGGAGAAAGUCCUUCUCCUGGUCUGUGGCGUCAGGAGACUUGUAGGGGUGCGUGAAGCCGACUUCUGGUACAUCUUUGUCUCUGGCUCAGUGCUAAACAUCCUGCCCUCAGUGUAUGAUGGGUAUGCCAUGGCUCCUGCAUUUAAAGGAAUGUUGUUAUGUUUAUUUUACUUGUUAUUUAAUGUGACACUUGGGUUUUUAACACUAUUUCUAAUACAUCAGCCUUCUAUCCCUGGAGAGAAGUGUGCAUAUAGCACUAGAACAGCAGCUAACAUCUGUCUUCACUGGAGAACUCUGCACUGAGGUCUGAGAUGAGCUGGAACACUUUCUUACUUGAGAAAUAUCUGACUUCUUUGAUACAGUUCUCAACAAAUUACAUUAACUAUCAUUCCUGAAUUUUGGUCAUUUAAGUUUAUUUCUAUUACACUAGUCAAAUAAGUUAAUGAAUCGGGGAACAUGAGAAUUAGUGUAAAUGAGUAAAUAAGAAAAUUUAAGAUUUUUUUUAUUGGGGUUGGGGAUUUAGCUCAGUGGUAGAGUGCUUGCCUUGGAAGCGCAAGGCCCUGGGUUCGGUACCCAGCUCAGAAAAAAAAAGAUUUUUUUUUUAUUGAAAGCAUAAGGUCAAAAUUACAUUUUUUAUCAUGGCUUUUAAAAUAUAUUCUUUAAAAAACCAUUUAUUUAUUUAUUUAUUUAUUUAUUUAUUUAUUUAUUUAUUUAUUUAUUUAUUUUAUAAUCCAAUAUUAGCCCUUCCUGUCUUGCCAAUAACCCCUCAUACAAACCCGUCUAUCACCUCUUCCUGAGAUGGCAAAGCUCCUUUUGGGGUGUCAACCCCCAUGAUUGCUUUUUUAAAGAUUGUAAAACAGAUCCCCGAGGACAAAGUUCACCUUUUAUGCAGUUUUAUGAAUCUCAUUGUUUAUUUCUUUACAUUUCACAAGAACAGACCCCUCUACGUAGUCCUGAAGCUAGGAGCUAAAUUGCAGGAGUGACAAUGCCACAAACAGCAUGCAUCAGUGUAUAGAAAAAUCUUUUUAUUCCUUUGUACACACAGGUACAGCUGGUUACUUGGAGAGUGAGCCAUAAAGCAGUGUCAGGUCUGGUUAUACACCCAUUCCUCAGUUUUCUUACCUCCUCUGUGAGAAAGAAACAUGCAUGAAAUUUUGUUAAUAUCUCUGGUGAGUCUCUGAAGUAUUAGAUCUUCGUCUUUUCUUUUCUCGGUGUGUUACCCCUUCGAUGGAAGAACUUCAGGAAGAGUUUUACCAACUUGAGCUGCAUUGAGUAGUGGCCAGCAUGGAUCUCUAGUGUGACAAUGAUAUGUGGAUCCAGAGCUCCUCAGUGGACUCUAUGACAUCCAGCCAGGAGCACCUGAAAUAUUCCUCCAAGUCAGUUACCCCUGCUUCCACUCUACCAAGAGUGGUCCUGGCCAUUGGAAAACCCAGCAGAGGUGCUGCCCACCCCUGUGACUGUCUUCCAGCCCAUAUGAACAGACCUCCCUCCACCACCUCCUCCACCACAUGUCCACCUACACCAGUGGUUUUGAUGGCAUUUCAGUGGCUUUGCCCCUCCCACCACCUUCUGCAAACAAGGCAGGAUCCCAGUCUGCUCAGGUGGCUGCUGGCUAGCAAAAAAGAAGGAGGAGCAGCAGUGGUGGUCUGAGAUAUAGAAGGCCUGCCUGGAUAAGGAAGCAGAGAGGAAGCACGGGGAGCAGGAGAAGAAUCUGGGGCAGAUGCACUCUCAUUCCCUGAUCCCUGCUUCCUUAUCUCUUUUGGCCACACCGGCCCAACCAGGAAAACCUUCCACACUGCAGAGGCCCCAAGAAACAGUUACUCUGGAGCUGUAGCCCCAGCAGCAGCCCCCCACUAUUGAGCACAGGAAUCUGCAGUAGAAAACUAUCAGUAAAGAGGAGUUGUCCUGUGGGGAUAGUCUGUCUCCAGACCCAUGGAAACAAGAUGCCAGGGAGAAGCUGGAGAAGCAACAGCAAAUGCACCUUGUGGACAUGCUAAGCAAGGAGAUCCAUGAGCUGCAAAACAAGGGGGAUGGUAGUGCAGAGGAGAGUGACUGCCUGUGGAAGCUUAUGCUGGAGUGGCUGUUUUGGAAGAGACUUCAGGCUAUAUUUCUUGUGUUUCUCCCAGGUUCAUUUCUUGAACCUGUUCUUGAAAACUGUUCAAGCAGCCCAACAUUUGACAUUUUCAAAGUAGAAAUUCAUAACAACUAUGUUUUUGACAUUCUGGCCUUAGAUAAUUCUACAGUGAUGUCUAUGGUUAAGUGCCAGGCAGUGAGAACCCAGGAGUGACGAUCAGAGGUACACAGGAUGACCUGAAGGUGAGGUGCUCCUGGAGCCCAGUGUCCUGAGUGCAGGUCCUCAACCUUACAGCUGCCCACUCCAGCUGUGCCUGGGAUGGAGCCAGUGCUACCGACCUAGGAAGCAGCUCAGGGACUGUGCUUACUAUGUUCCCCAUUGGUUCAGUUCAUGACAAAGGUUAAUCUGAAGUAACAGCAGGAAUUUUAGCCCGCUGGAAUUCUGUAUCUGAGAAAGUACAUGUCUUUAGGAACAUCAAGAUGCUCACGUCUAACACGUUUCAGCUUUAUAUGUCACAGAUAUCAUAAUAAAGCUGUUUAUAACCUUUUUCUGUUUGGGGUAGCUCAAGGGUAGAAUGUCCUGACCCUGAGUAUUAUAUCUAAUUACCCAGAGAGAGAGAGAGACAGGAAGGAAGGGAGGGGGAGAGGGAGGGACAGAGACA